RNAcentral lists this long non-coding RNA (56153 nucleotides) under Lactuca sativa (garden lettuce). RNAcentral's name for it is "long non-coding RNA (LSAT_LNC002070)". Lineage: Eukaryota; Viridiplantae; Streptophyta; Magnoliopsida; Asterales; Asteraceae. The record is from RNAcentral.
GGUACAAUUCCUUUCCAAUUAGGGUCAUUUGAGGAAUAGACCUGAAAAACGUACUUUCUAAAAGACUUGACACCUUUUUGGGUUGUGUCAGAAGUAGUAGGAAUGAAUUUUGAAAAUGGACUUUCCUUUUUGCUUGUUUUCAUGAAAGAAGAGUUUUUUGAAAUGUAGUUUGACAAAACAAAUUUUUCUGGACUCUUAGAUUUUGGAAUUUUGACAUGUCUCUUAUUUUUGGAAAAACUUUGUCUGUUUGUGCCUCGAGAUCUAAUUUCUUCUUUGAAAGCCUUUUUUUGCCAAAGAUUUUUGUGAACCACAGUCAUUGUUACUAACCUGCGGUUUCCUGGAAUUUUUUGAAUAAUAUUGAAAACGUGGGCUUGAAUCAUCAGAACUUGAGGAUUCUGGGAUUUGAGAGCAUUGACCUACUUCAAAAUUUUCUAUGGGUAACUCAUCAAAUAUUGGCUGAAGAGUUGCGGUUCCUUGAACUGAUGACUGCGGUAGGGAUGACUUGACUACCGCAGAGUAGGUCUUAGAUGGGACUUCGAUGGGACACUUGUGGUACAUUUGACUACAGUGUGAGACACUGCGGUCUGAGGACAGAGAUGGAAAGUCUUUUGAGACUUCGGGGCCCUCAACAACAAUCUCUUCAUCAACUAUGGAUGAAGUUUGAGAAUUUGGAUAAGUGGUGCCACAGAUAGGAAUUUGAUCACAUGUGUGACCCGAAACCUCAGGCACAAUUUCCUCAAUGACACAAUUAUUGCUUAAAUUGUGUAGUCUACCGAAAUGAGUUUUGAUAUCUUCGGGAAAAGUCUUGUUAUUGACAGGGAAAUGAAAUUCUCUAUCCGUAGGGACAUACAAUCUGUCUUUGUUGAACCGGGGUGAGGAAUCCAUUGCGGUAGGAUAUCCAUUUGACCAACCCCAAUUAUAUGUAUUGUCCACGGUUCCAUUGUUUACCAAAUUUUCAAUAGCCUCACUUUCAUUAAACAAUUUUUCAAUUAAGAGAUUUAAGCGUACAAUUUCUCUCUGAGCUAAAUCUCUCUGGUUCAAAGCUAUCUCUAAUUGGGUUUCACUUAACAUUCUAGCGUCUUUUUCUAACUCUAGAUCCUUCUCUAACAUAGCCAUAUUAAGUCUUUUGUUAUCCAGUCAUCCUCUCACAUGUAACAUCUCUUGGGACGCAAUGUUCUUCUCAUCUAAGGCUUUGUUAUGGUUUAUAAGGACGGCAACACAAGUGUCAUUAAGAUCAUCUAUGUAGGGUUGACAGUCAUGCAUACUAUAAUUUAAAGUUUGGAUCAUGAGUUUUACCUGUUCGACGAUGCUUAGAGUCCCAUACUUUGCCAUGUAGCAGUAAUUCUUGUUCAGCAUUGUAGAUCAAUCAUCAUCUGCAGUGGCCAGCCUGCAGAUUUUCCCUUUUCCUUUAACACUGCUGAUAGUCUCUUCUUCGUCUCCGGAUAACCCAACUUGAUGGUCUGUUUUGACAUGGGCCACAUAUGCCCUUACCUUUUCAUUUUCUUCUAGCUCUUGAGCCAUUCUAAGGUAGAAUGCUCUGUCUUUGACUACAUUGGCCUUACAAUCUCUUGCGAAGUGAUUUUCUUUGUUGCAUUUGUGACAAAUCACAGCAUCAGUCUUGUCUUCUGAUUGAGUACCGGAGUCAGUGGUCUGAGCAGACUGUGAUACCUCCUUUGGUUGAUUAUUCUGAGAUUGUGCUGGUGGAUGAGAACUUUUGGGAUAUCGAGAAUGGUUGUUCUGAGAACCAAAUUUAUGGUUGAAUGGAGGUUUGUUGAACUGUUGAUUCUUGUGGAAGGAAGGAAGUGGUAUACGGUUGAACUGUUGGCUAACCAGAGCAAUAGCCUUCUGAAAUUCUUCUUCAUCAUCAUAAUCAGAAUCCGCUUCGUAUGACUACGGUGGAGUGUCAUACGAUGAAGAGUAGGGUGACUACGGUGGAGCUUGUGCUAUGAGAGCAAGUGGUCCUCCGAAGUCAGCACAAUUUUUUAGUAUGGUGGAUUCUUGUACUUGAAGCUCUCCAUAGAGCUUGUAGAGUGACAAAGAGUGAAUCUUCAUGCCGCCUUGGACUAUCAUUUUAGCCGUAGUCUAAUGUCUUCCUAAACCAAUAAGAAACUGGAGAUUGGUUUCAUGGUUACUGCGGAUGGUGCCCACAUUGGAUAACUUAGUGACUAUCAGUUUGAACCUUUUGAAGGAGUCUUCCAAACUUUCACCAGUAUGAGCAUUGAAGUUGUUGAAGUCGUUGAGUGUGGUAGUGAGCUUCUUGUCUUUUGCUUGUUCUGAGCCUUCGUACAGGUUCUUGAGCACAUCCCUGAUCUCUUUUGCUGAUUUGCAGUUUAUGAUAAUAUCAAAAUUGUCAGGAGCAACUCUGCAGGAAAUUUCAUAGAAAGCAAUAGCAUCAUUUUCCAUUUUAUCGAGAUCAUCCUUGGUGGGACGGCUCAUGGCUGGUUGACCUCCUCCUAGCCUGGUUGCAGCGCCGUCAGUUUGGACUGGUGUAAGCACUGGGACAUGUGGUCCUUCUUCUAUAGAUCGCCAUACAUCUCCUCCUAUUCUUCUUAAGUACCUCUCCAUUCUUUGUGACUAGUGAUGAUAUUCAUUUGCUACCAGUAUUGGAGCUCGGUUAGAACCACCAACAUUGUUGGAGACAUUCAGAGAUAACGAUUGUGCCAUUUGAUAUUGUUUUUGUUUUUUUUUUAAGAAAUGAGCUUUAGUGGUAUAGAAGGCUUUUUAAAAAAUCAGAGUUCCGAUUUUCAAAAAGCAACCAAUUUGGCUCUGAUACCGAUUGUUGAGAGAAAAACUUGGAGACACAUUUGAACAAAAGUUAGAACAAGUAUAUUGCGGAAUAGUUAAUCUCGAAGGAUCUAAAAGCUCAAUAAUAAUAUAGUUAGAUAGUUAGAGAGUUAGUUGCGGAAAGUAAAGAAAUAUAAAUGACAGCAAUUGUUAUAUCAAGAAUACACUUAAGCUAAUUCGUAACAAGGAAUGCAUUCACUCCAGGUUAAUAAGGAAGAUCAAGCUUAGUGAUUAAGCCUUAAAGACUUGCUUCGGAGAGAGGUUAUAAUCAGAUAUACUUAAGUACCAAUUGAGAGUAAGAAGAAUAGAAAGAUAGAGAAAUGAAGAAGAUAACUUGGAGAAAUGUAUUUAGAAUAAUACCCAAGUUAUCAGUGAUCGAGAGGGUAUUCAAUACAAUAGAAUAAGUCUCUAUUUAUAGAGACUUUGAACUAUACUAGACUACAACUCUAUAAGCAGUCGUGCAAGGCAUACUGGAUAAUAGAGUGUAUUACAUAAAAGACAAAUAAAGUAUUCUGGUUAAGUAGACUGCGGUAGGAAAAGACUGAUUAUGGUUGCUGAUGAAGAACUGACUCCGAGUGCUGGAUUGGCUGUGGGUGCUAAACCGUUGCGGUAGAGAGAUGGUUGCAGUAGUUGAGUUCAAGAGGGUCACUUUUAUGAUUCAACAGAAGCCCUAAUUAAGGUGUAUGAAGGGAACGAAGACAUGCGAGAGAGUAGCCAAGUCAUGCUGCGACAACGUUUUAAUAUGUUUAAUUAUGUUCCUGGAGAGACUCUUGAAGCACAGCUGCAGAGGUUCACAACUCUCAAUACAGAAAUGACUGUGGCUGGGAUCUUCUACACAAAGUCAGAGAUAAACAAGAAGCUACUGAAUGCUCUCCCAAAAUCUUGGGACAUGAAUGUAGCUGUCAUUAAGAAGACAUAGGAUCUCAGCCGUCUCUCUCUCGCUGAAGUGAUGGCAGUCAUCAAGGCAUGUGAUAUUGAUGACAAGCAGCGGGAAAUCAACCAUGUGAACUCAUAUUCAGCUGCGAACCUUGGCAUUUCAUCAAACAAUGCUCUUUCAUCCUUUUCUUUUUCUUCUGCAGGUUCAUCCGUUAAUACUCCGAAAGCACAGAUUCAGACUUUCCCCACUCUAUCAGCUUCCUCUGCAUCAGCCAUGCCGUUCUCGCAGAAUCAAUCAAUUGUGGCUGCUAAAGCUGCUUCAUCCUCAACUGGAGCUUCUUCUUCAAAGGGAAAGGAGGGUGAUGAAAAUCUUGCACUUGCUUCGGGGCUUGUCAAUUGCUACAAUGCGCUUGUAGCCGGGGAUCUUCUGCCUCAACUAUCAUUUUCCGAUAUUGAUCAGAUUCACCCUGAAGACGUUGAGGAGAUGGAUAUUACAUGGCAAAUUGCCAUGGCAAUCUUUAGGGCGAAACAAUUUGCCAAAAAAAACUGGAAAGAAUAACUGGGGGAUGAGUGCUGACAAGAAGGUGGGGUUCAGCAAGUGAAAGCUGUGAUGUUUCAACUACCACUAGCCAGGGCAUUUGGCUCGUGAUUGUCCACAACCAGAUAAAAGACUAAAUAAUGAUAGGACAAUGGUUACAGUCGGAAACAAUCGAAGUGGUACUCAAAUGAACAACGAGAAGGCUAUGGUUGCUCAGUCAUUUGACUUGGAGGAUCAAAUGCAAGCCCUGAACCUCUCUGGACCUGAAACUGCCCACCUGGCACAAGUUUGUGAUGAUGCCCCAGCAGAGAUUGUGGCAGCUGAAGAUAAGAUGAUGGAGCUGCAAUUUGCUUUGAUGGUAUCCUCUUCUCAUGAACCUUAUUCAAUCGAGGUAAGUCUACCAUCAUGCUCUCAAGCUUGUAUAGAUUAUGUUAAAGCUCUAUAUUAAUAAGAGAAGUAGAAGACCUUAUAUAUGAAGGGUACCAACUUAGAAAAGGUCAAAAAACACUUAAAGCUCAAUUGGAAUAAAAAAUUAAGGACUUUAGGAGACUUCAGGAAGACUACAGUAAUAAAUGUGAAAAUUAUGAUUAUGUAGUGAAACAGAACGCUGAACUAGUGGCUGAAAUUGGAUCUUUAAAGGGAAAAUUUGAAACCGCCAAGUUUGAUUUUAGAAAAUAUGAUUUUUCAAGUGAGGUUGUUGCAAAUAUGAUAGACCACAGCAUGCAAUUUAAGAAAAAUCAAUCAAAAGGUCUAGGGUAUAAUCAUGUGCCCCCUCCCUUCAAUCAUUCAUAUCUGCACAAGCCUCCGUCCAAAGAAGAGAUUGCUAAUGAACCAUUUAUGGUUUAUGGCGAGCCAUCUGGUUUUAUUUCGGGAGGAUUUAUUAAUGUUGAAAGUACUAACAUUUCUACUUCUUCUGCAGAUCAAUCCUUGAAUCAGUCAAAGCACGAAGUUGAAGGAUAGGUUUCUGAAAAUAAAAUCGAGUCUAAACCUGAAGUUUUAGUUUUAAAUAAAGACAAUAUGUUUUCUGAUGUUUCAAAUGACAGUAUUUUUUGUGGUGGUGUUUCUAUUACUUCUGAUACUGUUUUGAAUGGUUUGAAAAAGUCUGGUUUGAAAUAUUUGGUUGACAAUUUUGAUGUGUCUGAUAAUGAUUUUGAGAAACCUCCAAUUUCACAGACUUGUCCAUCUAAUGUACCCUCGCUUGCCUCACAACCUAAUUCCUAUUCAUGUUCUUGUGAGAAAAGUAAUGGUGAUAGUAUGGAAAACAAAUCUGAUCAAUGUAGCACAAGUUAUAACAAUAACAAGCAAAUUUGUUUCAAUUGUGGUGUUGGUGGUCAUAUAGCUAGAAAUUGUCAAAAUCAUAUGUUUGUACAUUUUGAAUUUCCAAGAGGAGAGAACGGAUCCAAAGGAAGGUUUUUAACUAGAAAGUCCUCUAGAAAUCGUUCCCUAAAUGGUGAUUGGAAAGAUGAUCGAAGUAGAAAACGAGCCAUUUUUCAAAAACAUAAAAAGGUUUUUUAUCACAAAGUCCCAUGCAGUUUGCCAAAACCGAACAUGGACAAGCCAAGAUCGGUUUCGUUAAGAGGCAGCAGUGAGUCUUCAACCAAAUCUGGUAGAAAACCCACAUGCCCUAAGCAAACUGAUACUCAUUCAAAAACACCCGAGACAAUUAGAAAACCGAAAUAUCAAUGGCUGCCCAAACAAGUCUCCAAUUCAUCUUUCGUGUCCUCUAAAAAUUCCGAAAAUUAUCAAUCUGAAAAGGCAUCAGGACCACCCAGGAAAAUAAUGACCUGGGUUCCUAAAUCUAAUUAAACCCGCACAUUUUGCAGGGAUAGUUGAGGGGAAAUCUUGUCAGACCCUGGUUCGUCGACAGCGGCUGUUCCCGACAUAUGACAGAAGAUAUCGCCCAACUGCAUAACAUUCAAUCAUUUAAUGGGGGGUACAUCUCCUUUGCGGGUGGAGAAGGUGGUAAAAUCACUCAACGAGUAACUGUCUCUAAUGGGGUUUUAAGUUUCGAGAAUGUUAAUUUUGGUCCCGAGCUGAAGCAUAGUUUGUUAAGUGUUUCUCAGAUUUGUAACAAGGGAUAUUCUACACAUUUCACUUAUAAGGAAUGCAUGAUUCUCAAGCCAGGCUUUGUCAUCCCAGAGGAGUGGAUUCUUGUAAAAUCUAAAAGGGAUGGGAAUGCCUAUAUCAUUGAUAUGAAUAGCAUUCUUCCAGAACAAGUUAUGUGCCUUUUCUCCAAGAUCUCCGAACAAACUGCAAUGUUGUGGCACAGAAGACUAGGUCAUGCUAAUGCCAAGAACUUGAAUCGUCUUGCGAAGAAUGAGAUGGUCUGUGGUUCGCCUGUCAAGGACUUCGUUAUGUUUGAAAAAUGUGUGUCAUCUACCCAAGGAAAGCAUCAUAGAAAACCAUAUCUGCCAAAAUAGGGCAACUCAAUUAGCCAGUUGCUUCAAUUGCUUCAUAUGGAUCUGUUUGGACCAGUAAAUGUUCUUUUCUAUCCAACAAAGCUGGAGUUGCUGAUUUGAUCAAGAAAUUUAUUGUAUUAGUUGAAAAACAAACUAACAAUCAAGUGAAGGCGCUUCGUACCAACAACGGAACAGAGUUCAAGAACUCUGUACUUGAUCAUUUUUACGCAGAAAAGGGUAUCAUGCGUCAAUUCAGUUCUGCUCACACACCCCAACAAAAUGUUGUUGCUGAAAGAAGGAACAUAACUUUAAAGGAUUCUGCAAGGAUGAUGUUGUGUGAUUCAAAGUUACCAGUUUUCUUUUGGGCGGAGGCGAUAAACACUGCAUGUUAUGUUCAGAAUCGAGUGCUGAUCAACAAAGCUCAGAUGAAGAACCCGUAUGAGAUUCUCUAUGGUCACAAGCCGUCAUUCAGUCAUUUCCAUGUAUUUGGCUGCCCUUGCACUCUUCUUCACUUAGAUGCCAACCUGAAGUUUAAUGCAAAGGCCGAUGAUUGUUACUUCGUAGGGUAUGCUUCUCGCACUGCCUAUAGAGUCUACAAUAAGAAGAAAAAACAGAUUGUGGAAUCGUAUGACGUGCGUUGGUUGGAAGAAAAUGAGACGGACGCUAGAGUGGGUUCGGAUUAGCUAUUUGAUUACACAUCGCUAUUCAAAUCAAUAAAUGUGUCUUCGAGUGGUUCAUCUGGAUCUGUUUCUGGUUUGAAGAAGAUUUUUGAAGACGAAGACGAAGAAGUUUUCUACAGACCUCAAUCUGAAUCCCCUUCUUCUUUCAAAGGGAAGUCUCCGGUUUCAUCUGAGGGGGAGUCCUCUACUGUGUCUGAGGGGGAGUCCUAUGUUAUGCCUGAGGGGGAGUUCACUGCUUCACCAGAGAGGGAGUCAUCUGCGCAAGUUGAUAGUCCUAAAUCUCCAGUCCAAAAUGAUACUCCUGAUGCUGAAGUUACACUAUCUACACCUAUGGAGAGAGAGUUCAUGCUUAAUGACGCUUCCGCAACCACUUCAACCUUUAUGGAACUACUCUUUCCUGAAUUUAUCUCUAGUGAGUUCGUUGCAGAAUCCUCUGGAACGGCUCAAUCAACAAAUGAAGGAGGUAUCAACAUUCACACUCUUCCUGUCUCUCUCAAUGAUAUCAGCCAAGAGAUACCUUCAAGAGUUCAACGCGAUCAUCCGAUCGAUAAAAUCAUUGGUCAGCUGGGUGACACUGUUAAAAUGAGAAGUCAGAGUGGAGAUGUUAAUACUUGUCUCUACUCUUGCUUUAUCUCUCAAAUAGAGCCCAAGAAUGUUGAAAUGGCUCUGAAUGAACCCAGCUGGGUAGAUGCAAUGCAUGAGGAACUGCAUCAAUUUGGAAAACUCAGUGUUUGGAAGUUAGUUGAGUUACCAAAGGGCAAGAAGUCACUUGAAACAAGAUGGGUUUAUCGCAAUAAGCAGGAAGAUUCAGGGGUUAUUGUGCGAAAUAGAGCUCGAUUGGUGGUUCGUGGGUUUUGAAAAGUCGAGGGUCUUGACUACAUUGAAGUUUAUGCUCCAGUAGCUCACCUGGAGGCUAUUCGUAUCUUUCUAGCAUAUGCUUCUUACAUGAACUUUACCGUGUAUCAAAUGGACGUCAAGACUGCCUUCUUGUAUGGCAAGGUCAAGGAAGAAAUCUACGUUGAUCAACCUCCUGGGUUUAUUGACUCAAAAUUUCCUAAUCAUGUCUACAAGUUGGACAAGGCAUUGUAUGGGUUACAUCAAGCUCCUCAAGCAUGGUAUGCAACUCUAACAAAGCAUUUCCUCGAGCAUGGUUAUUCACGUGAGACCAUUGAUCAGACUUUGUUUAUCAAGCAUAUCGGAAAUGAUCAAAUUCUUGUGCAAAUCUAUGUUGACGACAUCAUCUUUGGGUCAACCAGUCCGCAGCUCUGCAAAGAAUUCGAAGGUGUAAGGAAGAAAUGGUUUGAAAUGAGUUCGUUAGGAGAAAUGACCAUGUUUUUGGGGCUUCAGGUCAAACAGAAUUCAACCGGAAUCUUGCUACAUCAAGCCAAGUAUAUGGAGGAUAUUCUUGAGAAGUUCGAGUUUCACGAUGCUAAGUCUGCUUCAACACUAAUGGCUGAAAGACCUCUUCUGACUCCAGAUCCUGAAGGUGAAUCCGUAGAUAAGGCUCACUAUCGAUCGAUGAUCAGAUCGCUGAUAUAUCUUACUGCAAGCUGACCUGACAUCAUGUUUGUAGUUUGUCAAUGCGCACGUUAUCAGGCUAAUCCUAAACUUUCACAUCUUAUUGUUGUCAAAAGAAUUUUUCGGUAUAUCAAAGGGAGCCCAAAAUUGGGUCUUUGGUAUCGGAAGAAUUCUGAAUUUGAUCUUUAUGCUUUUGCUGACAAUAAUUAUGGAGGCUGUGAGCUUGACAGGAAAUCAACCUCAGGAGGAUGUCAAUACCUAGGUGACAGACUAGUUUCGUGGCAAUGCAAGAAGCAACACACUGUUUCAACUUCCACAACGGACGCGGAAUAUGUUGUUGCAUCGGCUUGCUGCUCUCAAGCUAUCUGGAUCCAACAUCAGCUGUUGGACUACGGUUUGAAUUAUUUAGAAACCCCCAUUUAUUAUGAUAAUGAAGCUGCUAUUCAAAUUGCCAAAAACCCAGUCCAACACUCUAAAACCAAGCACAUCGACAUUAAAAUUCAUUUCAUCAGAGACUAUUAUGAACGUUUGCUAAUCCGGCUGGAAUAGGUCCACACUGAUAAUAAUAUGGCAGAUUUGUUCAAAAAGCCAUUUAACAAAGCUCGCUUCGAUGUGCUUGUAGGCUUUCUGAAAAUGAUUCGUUUUGAGGAUUAAGUUUUUUUAUUUUAUUUUGCUUCUUUUCUUCAACUCAAUUUUCAAUUUUUAAUUUUAUUUUUAUUUUUAUUUUUUCUAUUUUUUAUUUUUUUUAUUUUCUUAGGAUAGAUUAAGUUUGCGCAUUUCAUUUUCUUUUAUUUUUAUUCUCACUCAUGCACAAAUUUAGGGGGAGAAAUAAUCAAAAAUCCAAAAACAAUAAAAAUUCCAAAAAUCUAAAAACAAUAAAAAACCUAGAAAAUUAAAAAUAUUGUUGAUAGUUUUGUUUGUAGGUGUUGUGACGGGCAAUGAAAUUAGCAAGUAAUAACGGGCAAUCUGAAUCGGCGUAACGUACCUAAGUUGAAUCGUCUACGCUCUGCGCUCGAAGCGCUGUUAGGCACAAAAGNAUAGGUUGAGCAGGAAGAUAUACAUGGGAAUCUACCGAUCACAUAAAAUAACCCGUAUCUAGAACUAUGGAUUCACUUUUCCUCGAUGUGCGGAUUAUGUCCUUAAUUCCGGUUGGAUGGGGCGACUGGUAAAUUCCGAUAAAUUAGGUCUAUAGAAAAUCGUUUUCUUUCUUCCUGUCUGUUAUUCAUAUGUUGUCUCCUUUGCGUGACCUCCAAUCCAACCCGGUACACAACAUAUGCAACUCUAUUUCUCUGCAUGUUAUAUAUCUGAAAUCCCUCUUAUCUGUUACCCAUAUGUUGUCUCCUUUGCGUGACUUCCAAUCCGACCUGGUACACAGCAUAUGCAACCUUCUACUUCUCAACCCCUCUGAAACAAUAAGUAGUAGGAAUCUGAAUCUAUCCUCUCUCUGAAUGAUUGUCUGCUCACCCGGUGUAAGGAGUACUCUGGAAGUUCUUGAUGGCUGAGGCAUAUCAGGAAGCGGGAAACACAUUCUAGUACACUUAAAAUUGAACACAUACAGAUUGUCUGUAGAUCUCGCUCCUCGAUUUAGGUGGACAACAAUAUCCCUGGUUGUAGUCAGUUAAAUGGUCAUAAGAAAAAUUUAUUUAAGAAUUAGGGCCAAUCAUGAAAAUAAAGUUACAAUUAGACAUAUGCAUGUAUCAUGUCAUUGAUAAGUUGUCCAAAAUUGUCACAAAUUUUUCGUGUUUAAGUGGACCACAAUACUGACGAUUGAUCAGACGAAGAUGUGAAGAUAAGGGUACCGACAAGUAGAAUAAGAUUGUCCAACAACUUUGAUCCCAGCGUCACAAAUUCAGUUACAGGAGUUAAACUUUUGAAAUUAUAUUUUAGUUGAAGCUAAAUUAUUUUAUUUUAUUUUAUUUUAUUUUAUUUUUUUAUUUUUAUUUCAAUUUUUUAGCUGUUAAAAUUUUAUAAGUUUUUUUAUUUUUUUCCUUCAUUUUAUUGUACAUAAUUAAGUUUUUUUUUAAUUUUAUUUUUACUUUUAAUUUUAAUUUUACCUUAGUAAAAAUCCUCAAAAGAAUUGGUUUUAAAUUUUUUUAUUGGGUUGGGAAAAGAGUAUAAAAGGAGUUUACCGCCGGAAUCUCCUUCAUUCUCAAGAUUCCGGCCGCAAACCUCUAAAACAUUCUCUCUCUAAUCAAAAAAAAUCGUCAAAUCUUGCAAAUCUAAUCUGUUAGUCUCAAAGUUACUGAGUUCUAGAUCAGAAAUAUGCAGUUUAUUGUGUGAUAUACCAUGUCAUUUGAGCAGAAAUCGAGAAAAAUGAGUACGACGGAGUUUACGGCCGCAAGCUUGGGCCACAAACCCUGUUCUUGAUCCGUAAACGUCUGUAUGACCGCAAAUUGCUUGCGGUCGCAAACUACGAUUGAUUAUUGUGUUGUUUUGCGACCGUACACUCUUAAUUAAAUGCAUUUUUCAUGGUUUGAUCAAAUUUUGUGUUCAUCGACCGUAAACACAGUUCUACGGCCGCAAACCUUGUUCUUGGGCCGUGAACUAGUGUUGACCGUGAAAUUAUGUUGACUUCCAAAUUUGGAUUUAAUUUAAAUGAAUAUUUUUUUUAUUUUUGACCCAAAUAUUUAAAUCAAAAUAAUUAAUAUUUUUUUGGGAUCAAAAUUAAAAUUAAAUAUUUUGGUUGUUCGUUUGGCAUGUUUUCGUGUCUUACUUAGUAUGGUUGACUGCAGGAAAAUGGCGAACCUGAAAUUUGCGGAUAUGCACAAUCUUGCUAUUGUCCUUGCGGAUCCUCCAGUUGUUCAUUCGGAUCUUCAAUCAAUGAUUCACAGACUUUGGGAGUGUUGUUUGGCAUCUGCUAUUACAGCAAAUCCUAUUGUUUAUCAGAACUUAAUCAGAGAAUUCUGGGGGACUGCAAGCAUGGAUAUGAGUGAUGCCGGUCAUUUUACUGUUAAAGCUACAGUUCAAGGUCGUGCAAUUGUGAUUAAUGAAAGCUUUAUCAGAGAGACGCUGCUGAUUGAUGAUCAACCUAAUUACCCCACGGAGAUUGGAAUUGAAGAGAGUACUCAAAGAAUUCUGAGGAGAAUGAUUUAUGAAGGCACAUCACCUCUAACUUCAAAGAAACUUUUUCAUCCAUAUUGGAGACUGUUAGCACACGUAUUCAUUAGAUGCAUGAGAGGAGAUCGGGACCAGAUGAGAUUUCUCAAAGGAAUACCGGUGCCAUUGUUUCUCUCGGUGCAGGAAUAAAGUUCAAUUUUUCGAGAUUCAUUUUGGAUGAGUUUGUUGUCAACAUUCGAGCUUCAACUCAGGAUACUUUCUUGUUCUAUCCUAGAUUCAUUCAGCUGUUCAUCGAGGCUUAAUUUCCGGAUGUGCGAAAGGAACGUGAUGUUUUGGAUAUGAAAUCAUUGGGUCCCUACACUGUAGGACUCAUCAAACAGAAUCGAAAAGGAAAGUUUAUUUUUCAAGGAAAAUACUCGCUUGAAAAGUUUGGAAAGUUCACUGAACUAAAUGAGCCUACAGAAUCUUAUGGUUCAUCUGACCAGGCCUCUUUUGAGCCUGCAUCUUCUGAGAAGUCGACUCCAAACAACAUUGUUAUUGAUGUAUCUGACGAUGAAAGUACUAAGAAGGAAGAUACUCCUACCCUUGACACUCAUGUGGCUGAGGAACAUGGAAAAAUGCCUAAUCUUGCUCAAGGUGAUAAUUCAGGAAUGCACGUGGAGUUUACAGAAAAUGUUAAAGGCGACAACAAUGAUUCCUUUGAUGAUCUUGAUCUCUCUGGUUUUGAUCAUGAUUACAUUAUAGCUUCUCUAGCUAGCAGUGCUAACUUGGUGUCAAAUGAGAAUCUUGACACUAUCUUUAACAAUGUCGAUGAUGUUGUCCUUCCAACAACUGAGACAAGGGAGUCAAAUGAAGUUUUUGAAACUGCAACCCCUACUUCAAGUCAAAUGGCAAGUGUUUCGAUUCCAAUGGAGACGGUUAUGGGAUGUUCCCCUCCUGUUUCUGUUCCUCCUACCUUAGAGCCAUUUGUGAGUAGUUUUGCAACGACAUAAUCUGAUCAUCCCCCGUUGAAAAGACAAAGAAGGGAUAUGAGGCAGAGUGAUGUAAUUGCAAGUCUCGUUAGCGGCCUCCCAGUACCACCUACUACUACUACUACUCCCAGUCUUACCACAACCAAACUUUUUUCUGUGGGUCCAGACACUACCUUUGAGGUUGGUGGUUCCUCUAUUCCACCAGGGUUUACUCCUCCUCGAUCUGAUCGUGAUGAAGCUUCUGUGAGAUUAGUUAUGCAUAUGGCUGAGGAGCAACUUCUAAUGCCAUCUCCUCGUGGUAAAGGUAUUGCUAUAGGGGAUGGUGGUUAUGGAGGAGACAACUUAACUGUCUCAGGGCUACAGAAGGAGAUAUCGGUGCUAAGUCAGAAAAACAUUGAGCUUGAUAUUCAAGUGUCAGAACUUUGAGCUGAAAAUUCAAAGCUUGGUGUUCAAGUGUCUGAGCUUCAGUCUGAUAAUUCAAACCUUGGUGUGCAAGUAGCUGCUCUUACUAAGGAUAAAGAGCUAAAGUCAAAACAGAUUUCCGAUCUCCAAGAUCACUUCAAUCUAUUGACUUCAAGCUACUUUGAGCUGAAGAAGAAACUUCAGGAAGACCUCGGUGAUAAAUACCAGACGUCUGCUGAUGAAUACAAGAUUAAUCUACAUGUCCAAGCUUUUCCAGUUUCUUUGCCAACUGGUCAAACAUCAGGAGUUGUUAAUCGUGUUGAAGCUAAGCCUCCAAAAGCUACCCAUGUUUCAAAAACCAUUCGCGAAGCACAAGAGGAAGCAGCUAAGAAAGGGCAACUGGUGUUUAAAAGAAACCCUAAUCAAAAUGCUUCUUGGGAUGAACCUACGAUUACAAUGACUGAUCUUGAAGUCGUUCAAUACAGAGAUACUUUUUGUGAUAGAUCGGGAAUUUCUUCGUGGGGAUUUCAUGAUCCUCUCAACAUGUGGAAGUGUUAAGGAAAAGUGGCAAUUCUGAACUUUAUAGAGAUAGUCAUGACUUCAGUUCAUGGACUAGAGUUGAUCUGACUAAAUUAUCUCGAGCUCCUUUCUUCAAUUUAACAAAAACUCCUCAUGUGACUCAGUUUAAGCACUUCCUUGAAGAUCAAGUCAAGAAAGGCUUUCCAGCAAUGAAUACUGUUAGGUCUGUCAUAGAAGAGCAUUCUGAUAUCCUUGAUCCUAAAACUGAUAAGCCUUUGCAAGUCGUGAUGUGGCCCGCAACCAUGCAGGUCAAACAGUUCCCUAUUCUUCAACAUUAUCAAGAUGGAUCUCUAAGUUCUAUGGAGUGUUGGGUCUUUGAUGAAUUUACUUCCACUGCGGUCAUCAAGCUCAAGAAUGGGUGCAUUCGACUCUACGACCGAAGAGAUUCGUUACAAUUUCGAAAAUGGGAUAUUCAUCACCUAAGCAACUUCCAGAUUUUGGUUGCAGAGGAUACUUUUGAAGAUACUGCGAAGGUGUAUACAACUAUGGUUGCUGAGAUUCUUAACAAACAGAUAUGGAAUGGGGCAAUGGGGCAAGCGGACGUCAUGGUAGUUACUAAAGGUUAACUUCAAGCUAGUCCAAACCAAGGGGGAGAUUGAAGGGCCCGAUUUAGUGGUUUGGUCUAGGCCUUACAAUGUAAUAGUAGGGAGUGUGUUAGUAGUGUGCUUUUGAAUAUUUUACGGUUGUAAUGAGUUUACGGCCGUAAACACCUUACGUCCGUAAACUCUUCUCGGUCGUGGUCCCUAUAUAUAGAGGGUUAGUCAGACGUUUUGUGGUUGUUGAUGCCUUACUGUUCACGGCUUUCCAUCGAGUUGUACCAGACGUUUAUUGAUAUAAAAUAUGUGCAAGCUUGGUUUAUUCUCUUUUCGCUUCUAUUAUUGCUUUGUGUGAUUGUGUUUGCUAUUGAUCUUUGCUAAGAUCCGUUAUUUGGACUUUACAUCUUUUUUCCACAUGCACACACUUCACUGCACUUUACUAUUCCCUUCUCAGAUUCUCUAUCUAUAUGCAAAUACAUCAUUUUCAAAGUCAGAUUAUUUAGUGUUUGCACUUUUUUACUUUCUGUUUCACUCAUGCCUUAGAACCUAGGUAAAGCAGCUAAGUUAGAUAAAGAAUAUCACUUACUUGAUCAUGGAACAUCCUUAGCCAAGUAGAGCAUCUUAUCCAAUGGAUCGUCCUCUUCAAGAAAGCCAUAUGUGUUUGUCUUGGUUUAUGGAGCAUUCUUGUAUAUUGUGAAGAAGGUCAAGAUCAAAAGCCUUAAAGAAAUAAUAUUUGGAGAAACAACAUACAACUUGGACCAUCUUGGAUCAUCUCCUCAUCUUUUGACCAACUGGAUGAAUGACUGGACCAUCUUCAUUCAUCUUGAUCAUCUUGAGGCACGUUGGACCAUCUUCAUUAAUUUGAUCAUCCUGAGGCAUCGUGGAACAUCUUCAUCAUCUCGGUCAACUGGUAGUAUCUUGGAGCAAGUUCACCAACUUGAACGAUCUUUAUCACCUGAUGCAUCACGCCCAUGUGUCUCAUUGAGUCCAUAUAAAGCAUAAUAAAUGUGUCAUGCAGGUUUUGAAUAGGUAACAUGAACGUUUCAAGUAGGCCAUGCACAAUUCAAGUAUGUGAUGCACAUUUCUAGUAGAUCUUUCCUUAGGUGCCAUGCACGUCUCAAGGAUAUCAUCCAUGCGUGCACCACCUUUUCUUUCUUGCUUCUCAAGGCGUCAUUCUCGCGCUCGCGACUCAAGUUGAAAUACUCCUAUUUAUACUUGAGUACCAUCCAAGCCAAAUGGGCCCACAUGUUGGCCCAUGCAAUCCCUAUUUUGGCCCAUUGAGAAACCCUAGAACCCUUCAACUAUAAAUACCUCACUNAUCAAAAGCCUUAAAGAAAUAAUAUUUGGAGAAACAACAUACAACUUGGACCAUCUUGGAUCAUCUCCUCAUCUUUUGACCAACUGGAUGAAUGACUGGACCAUCUUCAUUCAUCUUGAUCAUCUUGAGGCACGUUGGACCAUCUUCAUUAAUUUGAUCAUCCUGAGGCAUCGUGGAACAUCUUCAUCAUCUCGGUCAACUGGUAGUAUCUUGGAGCAAGUUCACCAACUUGAACGAUCUUUAUCACCUGAUGCAUCACGCCCAUGUGUCUCAUUGAGUCCAUAUAAAGCAUAAUAAAUGUGUCAUGCAGGUUUUGAAUAGGUAACAUGAACGUUUCAAGUAGGCCAUGCACAAUUCAAGUAUGUGAUGCACAUUUCUAGUAGAUCUUUCCUUAGGUGCCAUGCACGUCUCAAGGAUAUCAUCCAUGCGUGCACCACCUUUUCUUUCUUGCUUCUCAAGGCGUCAUUCUCGCGCUCGCGACUCAAGUUGAAAUACUCCUAUUUAUACUUGAGUACCAUCCAAGCCAAAUGGGCCCACAUGUUGGCCCAUGCAAUCCCUAUUUUGGCCCAUUGAGAAACCCUAGAACCCUUCAACUAUAAAUACCUCACUUCUACUUCUCAUUCUUGCUUUUUCACUCUCUCACAAAUUCUUACCUUCGUACUCACUUGAAGCAACAAGGCGUCGUGAGCAACAGUUGCAUAUGCAACAGGCAUCUUAAGUUGGUGAGAAGCAAGAAGCAUCCUUGGCACAACAGCAAGUUUGGCUCAACAAGAAACCCAUUUAAAAAACAAAAAAAAAAAAAAAAAAAAAAAAACCUCUCUCGAGCCAUAAGUUUGUGGUUGCAAAAUCCUUAGUUGGCUCAACAACCUCCUUAUUUUCGGAAAUCCCAUCUUGAGCCACAAGUUUAUCUCAAAACCCUUGUUUGGCUCAACAAACCCUAAUUGUGAUCAACAAGGAUUUUGGAUGUCCUCUUGAGCCAUUGAUGAUCAACAAGGUUUUUGUGUUCUCUUAAGCCAUUGAUGAUCAACAAGGUUUUUUGUUCUCUUGAGCCAUUGAUGAUCAACAAGGUUUUUGUGCCCUCUUGAUCCAUUCGUGAUCAACAAGGAUUUUGUGUGCCCUCUUGAUCCAUUCAUGAUCAACAAGGUUUUUGUGCCCUCUUGAUCCAUUCGUGAUCAACAAGGAUUUUGUGUGCCCUCUUGAUCCAUUCAUGAUCAACAAGGUUUUUGUGCCCUCUUGAUCAUCAAUUAAAUUCGAAAUUCUUUCUUGAGCCAAACCUUGAUUUCGAAAUCCCUCUUGAGCCAUCACUAGUUUCGAAAUUCCUCUUGAGCCAUUCAUGAUCAACAAGGUUUUUGUUCCCUCUUGAUCAUCAAGUAAUUUCGAAAUUCUUUCUUGAGCCAAACCCUGAUUUUGAAAUCCCUCUUGAGCCAUCACUAGUUUCGAAAUUUCUCUUGAGCCAUUCAUGAUCAAGAAGGUUUUUGUGCCCUCUUAACUAUCAUGUAAUUUUGAAAACCUUCUUGACCCAAGCCAAAAUUUCCAAAUUCACUCUUGAUCAUCAACAACCUUAUCUUGAUCAUCAAGCAAUUUUGAAAAACAUUCUUGACCCAAGCCAAAAUUUCGAAAUUCCCUCUUGAUCAACAACAACCUUAUCUUGAUCAUGAAGCAAUUUCGAAAACCUUCUUGACCCAAGCCAAAAUUUUGAAAUUCCCUCUUGAUCAUCAACAACCCUGUCUUGAUCAUCAAGCAAUUUCGAAAACCUUCUUGACCCAAGCCAAAAUUUCGAAAUUCACUCUUGAUUAUCAACAACCUUAUCUUGAUCAUCAAGCGAUUUCGAAAACCUUCAUGACCCUAUACCAGCCUCAUGAGUCUCGUAAUUCCUUCCAGCCUCAUUUUGAUCAUCCUUGACGCAACUUUACAUCUUGCGCCACAUAUCACUCUUGUGUCAUCCUCCCUUAUUGGCCAUCACUCCUUGUCCCUCUAUACACUUCUUGUGCAAAUAUCACUUGCGCCACCCUCUUUUUCUUCUCCUCUUACGCCAACCCUAAUUCACGUUCGUGCAUUCAUCUUGGCACAACACUCCAUCCUUUAACACAUUCUCAUGAUCCGACUUUGUAAUUGGUACAUCCGAUUACGACCAUCUCAGCCCAUGCUCACAUCAAUAUCAAAUUGGCACAUCAUCCCUCUCUUAAUCAUGAUCAAUCUUCAGUCAAAACUCUUUGGCGCAUCAUCAAUUCACAUCGUGACUAUCUCCUAGAUGCGCAACUGAUCAUUGGCGCAACUCCGAUCCGACUGCAUUGCGCAACUUCAAUCAGCAACGCCUCAGUUUUUGGUAAUCUUUUUGUUGGCGUAAUUGAUCAUUGGUGCAUAUCCAUCUCGUGAUCCUCUUAUGAUCAUCAGGUAAUUAUCGAGAGUUCGAGACUAACUUCAGCCCUAGUUCUCAAGUGUUUUUUUAAUCCUUAAUACACAUACUUGUAUGACGUUUCUUUUGUAGUUGUCGAUUUUUUUGUUAGUGAGAUAUGAUCUAAGUACAUGAUCAGAUUUAUGAAUCAUGUUUUUGUGAGCAUCAUCUUGUCCGAUCAUCAACCUUCCUAGCUGUGAAGUUUUCUCUUUUUGGUCAUGAUCUUAUGCUUAAUUCUUUUUAGUGUAUGUGUAAACCUGCUACUCCAUCUCCCAUCAUCACUUUUUUUUUAAACCCCUGAUGUAAAGUUUUUUUUUUUUUUUGACAUUCAAAUUAGGGGUGAGAAUGGUGCGGUUUGGUGCGGUUUUCAGACCAAACAGAACCGCAAACCGCAUGGUGCGAUUUUUGCAUUCUUAAAACCGUUGGGUGCGGUUUUGCAAUGGUUCGGUUUUUCGGUUUUUAAAUGCGGUUUCGGUUUCUUUCGGUGCGGUUUCGGUUUUUAAACCGUGUUAUGAAUUUGGUGCAGUUUUUUUUUAUGUUUUUGGUGGGGUUUUUUAAAACUGUAAGAACUGAAAACCCGGUGCAUAUAAGCUUGUAUUGUGCUGUUUUUUUUAACACAUUCAUUUUCAGCUCAAAACAAAAUUACAUAAUCAAAAAUUGUAAGUCGCUUAAAAUACAACUUGUGACCACUCUCACAAACUAAUUAAUAAUUGAAGGUUGGUUGAUUUUGACUUAAUUUGUUACAAGCUUAUUACAUGUAAUUGAUUAGUACCUUUGGCUAACAAUAGAACAUUUCUUUUGCACCUCAUAUAGUCUUUAUACAAACACAAAAUAAACAUAUAAUAAAUAUAUUAUCGUUUAUAACUAUUUUAAAUAGCAUGUAUAUAAUAUACAUUGAUUGAUUUAUUACUAUACACGCUUGCGGUGCGGUUCGGUUUUGGUGGACUGGUUUUUAGGAUAGAAACCGCACCGCACCGUUCACCUUCGGUUUUUGCAAAAAUUAAAUCCGCACAAUUGGUUUUUGCAUCGGUUUCGGUUUUUCGGUUGCAGUUUAUUGCGGUUUUGUCGGUUUUUCUUUAGUCGGUUCGGUUUUUGCUCACCCCUAAUUCAAAUCAAUGUGUAUGAGCAGUUUUGUUUUUAGAGAGUCAUCACGUGUGAAUCUUACAACAUCGUCUGUUCAUCUACAAACCUUAGGUAAGAUUCAUGUUAAUUUUUUUUUCAUAUGCAUGCUUGAGUGAAGGUCUCUCUUUGUUGAAUCAUCACCGAGGAUUCAAUAUCUGAUUCGCGCAACUCCUCACUUCCUCACUUUGAGCAUCAUCAUCUCUUGAGUGAAGGUGUCUCUUUUAUUUUUCUUUCUUUCUUUUCUUCUUGAGCCAAUUUUUAUUUUCUUCUUGAGUCACCAUCGAGCUAUCUUGGAAAGCCAACGUGAAGUGCUCAUGCACCUCAAGAAACCCCCCAGCAACAUGUUGUGUAGAACCAAGGCUUCAAAAAAACUUUUUGUGACAAUUUUUUUUGGUGAGACUUGAAUGUUACAUCUUUUUAAUCAUUUGUGACGGUCCUGCUGUCGCAAAAGGGUUACACAUAAGCAUUAAAAACAAGGCUUCACAAACUUUUUGUGACAAUCAAAAUUUGCUUGUGACCCUUGCAUGGAGCUUUUGUGACAGUUUUGAUGUCACAAAAGGUACAUUCAAGUUGUGGUGUGAUAAAAAAAAUUAUACAUUUUUUUUUGUUGGUUACACUCUCACACACAUGCACGAUUUUUCUCCCUUUUCCUUUUAUUUAUUUAUUUUUAAAUUCUUUUAUUUCAAUUUUGUUUAUUACUAUUUUUUUUAUCUUUCUAUUUUGUUUUAUUUUUAUUUAUUUCUUUAUUGUUUCUUUUUUUUUAGCUAUCACUUGAAUAAGGCAUCAAUAAACACUAUCUUAGUUUAAAUUUCACAUCUUUAUCGAUAUUCUUAGUGUUUAUUUGAUAUUCAAGGGAUAUCCAUAGAAUUAUUUUAUCCAACCCUAUUUUGAAAAUAUCAUUCAUGAUUAAAAAAUAUUUCUUUUUAUUUUUUAAAAUUUUGUUUUGAUUCGCUAUGGUCCUAUAAGGCCUAGACCUAGCAACUUUGCUUUAUCAUAACACUUUUGGUAUGAUUUUAGCAAAAUAUCAAAGUUUUUAUCUAUUUUUCAGUUUGUAGAAAAAGCUCAAGUCUUUCAUUCUUAUUCAACACUUGAUCUUUUCUUCAAACUUGUGGCCUAAAUAAAACACAACAUGAUUUUGCAAGUUAUUCUUAUCUGUCAGUUUACUUUCCUAUCUUGACAAAACAAGUUUUUGUCUAGAUCAUGCAAAUUCAAAACAUUUUUUUAAUCAAUUCCAAUUUUUUUGUUGUCAUAUUGACAAUUAAAUUUUCUUUAAGAAAAUCUUUCAAGUUCGAAAAACACAUUCUCUCAAAUAAUUUUUAAAGUUUUUUUUUUUUUUUUUUUUUUUUUUUUUUUUUUUUUUUUUUGGUUCUUCUUCAACCUAAAUUUCCAUUAAAGCAAAGGGGGGAAAUGUUAAAUCAAUAUUUUUCCUUUUUCACACUUUUUACAACUCCUUAUUUCAGUAACCAUAACAUAGGGGAAACUAUUGGAAAUAUUUUGAUGUGAUUUUCACUUCAAAUAAGUUGAGUAUUGAUUUACAUUUUCUAAUAAACAUUAUCAGAAUGUUUCAGGUUGAAAAGAUCCUGAAGAUUCAACAAGUGUUUGAAGAAUCAAAUGUUGGAGCACUUGAAGUUGAACUUGGAGCACUUGUUGUUGACAUGGAGUACCCGCUGAAAGCAAGUUGGAUCAUCAUGAUCUCAGAUAGCACAUCUAGAUUAUAUGUGGAGCAUCAAAACACUGAUGGAUCAUUUGGAAUAUUGAUGGCUCAUCAGAAACAUUGUUGACUCAUCCACAACUCUAUGGCUCAACAAGAGUUGAUGGCUCAAUAAGAACAGUUGGUGGCUUAACUCAAGUCAAUGGGUCAACAUGAUCACAUUGAUGGCUCAACAAGACUGCACAUGGCAUAUCAUGUACAAUGAAGGAACGUCCAAAUGCUCAAAGGAACAUGAAUUUCGUCCAUGGUCCAUCAUGCACAUGUGGUGGUACAUCUUUAAGUUCAAGUCACAGUCCAACACUCAAAGUAACAACUCAACUUGGUCAACAACACUUCUGGAAGUUGAUGACAUCUAAGUUGACAAUUGAGUAACAUGAUGCUCAUGUUGCUCAUUACUUUUUCAAUGUUGAUCAAGAAGGUUCAAGAAUUAUGAAGACUCAUAACUUGGAUGGAACCCUAAUGGAAUACUAACGGAAUUGGAAUAUUCCAUCCAUUCUUCGUUAAAUAGGGCGAAGGUGUCAACUGAUGAUGACCUAGUCAUGAUGACGUGUCAACACCUGAUUGGUCAAGCCAUGUCAAGGGCUUUUCCAAAGCCUAUAAAUAGGCCCCUUGGGAUCCAUUAUAAAGUUGUUCUUCCUUGCUCAUUUGAGAUCAUUCUGCACAAUUGUUGUUUAGAGUAGUCUUCAGAGAGCCAUUUGAAUGUUUUGGCUUGUCUAUCAUUCAAACACUUGUAACUGAAUCUUGUUGAAUAUGAGACACUUUUGAAUUAUUGAUCUUGAACAUAUAAAAAACGUUUUUAUCAUUAAGUUGGUGAUUCAAAACUCUUUAUUUUUCACAUUAGUUGCCACUUGACGAUUCUGAAAUUCUGUUUUGGUAUUUUCAACACUUGGACUACUCUAAUCUAGGUUUACUGAAUUUUUCUCAUUUCUUCAAUUAUAAUUUCCUAAUAACGUUACUAUAAUUAAAUAAAAGCUAUAUUAAAAAUAGUGUAGACAUAGCUCACUUACAGCAGGUUUUAUAGAAAACCGGGCUUCACUUGGAGCAGCGUUUCCGAGCUGAAAGACCCUUUCUCUCGGGACUCCGGGAGCCUCAGGGCUUCCUUCGGGUGCUAGGGGGUUUACCUAGCCUUAGGAGGGGGUUAGGGAUCCUAGAGAGAGAAAUAAGUUAGAGAGAAGUGAUUUUGCUGCAAGAGAUUCGGCUGCCUUCACUUCCUUUUUAUAGCCUGUGAGGCCUCGAUAUGUUGGGCGUACCACGGACCUACGCUGGGCGUAGUGCUUCGUUCGUAGAACACGUGUUGCGGCUUCAGUGGGGCGACGUGGCUUCUCCUGGACCGAUGGAUGCAACAAUACGCGGGGCAUAACUCUUUCCGACGAGGGGUGUACUUCUCAUUCUCAAGGCACCCUUCGGACUACGCCGGGCAUUCUCGGAUUACGCUGCGCGUAGUCCUCGCACCAGCUGUCACCAUCUGAAGCGAGGCGUGGGCAACAAGGAACGGAUGAGAUUUGGCCACGUCAUCAAUCUCUUAUCAGAUUUUGCAAAUUCACUUUCCGGCUUCUAAAAAUCAUAACUUUCGCAUACGAGAUCCGUUUUCGACGUUCUUUAUAUCCACGCGUAGGCGGGAAUGUACUCUACAACUUUCGUUUAGACUCUGUCGUCUAAUUUUGACUUUAAUAUAAAAUUUAUAUUAUUAACAGGCCAGGACAAGAUUGGUCCGUUAAAAAUUCAUAACUUCCUCAUCAGACGUCCGUUUUCGUCUGUCUUUUUACCGCUACGCUACUAUUAACGAGAUAUUUGAUUCUUGUUUAGGUUAUGUCGGCUAAAAACCGCUCAAUCUAAUAUUCGAAUUUCAAGCUGUAUAUUGCUAAGCCGAAACUUCGAAAAAUCAUAACUUCCUCAUACGAAGGCAGAUUUGGGCGUUCUUUUCAUGGAUGCUAUCAGUUUAACGUAUUCUACGACUUUCGUUUAGAUCACUAAGUCUGAAUAUCACUCUAUCGUAAAUUCACUAUUUGCGUUUCCCGGUGUCGUGUCGGUUUCGUCUCGAAACUUCGACGGGUCAUAACUUAUUCGUCAUAACUUGGAUUUCGGCGUUCUUUAUAUGUACGGAAACCUUGUAAUAUAUACUAAAACUUGGUUAAGAUUAUUUAUUAUAAAUAAUCUUUUUCUGAAAAGUCAAUUUCGACACUUAUUGCCUCUAAAUUGACUAGCCCGGAUCUGCAGGCAUUACAUGAGGCAACAAAGGAGGCUAUAUGGAUAAAGAACUUCAUUGGAGACCUUGGAGUUGUACCUGCUAUAAAGGAGCCUAUAGAGAAUUUAUAUGAUAGUGAAAGUGCAGUUGCCUUAGCUAAGGAACUAAGGGAUCACAAGAGAUCCAAACACAUCGAUAGAAAAUACCACUUCAUCAGACAUUGAAUAGAAAAAGGACUCCUCGUGGCAAAGAGGGUAUCAUCAGAUGAGAACCCAGCUGAUCCCCUCACGAAGGGAUAGGGUAGGGUUAGGCAUCUCCAGCAUGCGAGGCACAUAGGGCUGAAGGAUGAUAUUUGUUUUAGUAGUUAGAUAGCUUUGAAAUGUGUAAAGUGUAAUUGACAUUUGAUGAUGAAUAAAAGUUGUUUAUUUAUGAGUAAAGUGUUGCUAUCUUUUGUCAAUCGUUUACUAUCGUUUCAUUUUUGAAUGUUUUGACUUCCAAAAUAAUUAUGUUAUGGUAUUUCAUAUUAUUCAACUUCUCCACAGUCGGUCAUAUGUUGAAAGUAGAUAUGAAUCAAGACUGUCAUGUAGUUGGUUGUAGAUGUCUAAGAUGUUGGACAUAGCAAAGUGUUGCUACAACACUCAUGAGUGUUUAUAAGUUCUGAGUAUUGGAUUCAACCCACGCUCACUUGUAUCACUACAUGGAAUUCAUCUCGAGUGAUCGUGAGAUGGUAAUAUCAUAUAAGUCUUCAAACAUAGAGAUACAGUUUGUUGCCUAUGAGUUGGUUAUACGUUGAUUGUACGAAAACGCAUUCGUAACUCGAUGUUUUAAAACAUGCCUAUAUGUAUGAUUCAACAAGUAGUAGAACAAGCAUAUGAGUUGAAGUUUAUAUGUUCCUUCUUGGAUUAGAAGUGAUAUUUAGGCCCCUCAAUGAUUUUGUGUUGACCCAUGUACCGGGCCCAGUCAGAACUAAGUUGAUGUGUUCAAUUAAGUUCUAUGUCAAACAAAUCGGAAAUCGGAAAACAAACUGUUGGACAAUAAGUAAGACAUUGUUCCAUGUAUUUGUCUGACUGAUAUCUAGAACAGAUGAUUAUAUGAUCACUCAUCUUCAAUGGUGUAUCAUCAUCUUCUCAGUUCAACGAGACCUUGAAAGAGCUACGAUUGCUGAUCGGUUCCUGAAGUCAUUCUUGCAGUUAUAGUUAUUAGACUUAUCCAAGUGGGAGACUGUUGGAUUAGGUGUCUAAGUUCAUAACUAUUCCUAGAAUGUACUUGACCCAGUUAGCAUGGUUUAUUUGGGUUGCAUGACAUUGCAACACUUGGAUAGACUAAAUGAGAGAAAGGACACUUAAGGAUUAUUAAUAUAUUAUAAGUUCUAAUAUAUUAAUAAUAUUAUUUAAUUAGUAUUGAUCAAAAAAUUAAUUUGAAAUUAAUUAAGUGAUCAAAAAGAGACUAAUUAAAUAUUUGGGGUUGAUUGUGUAAAUCAUCUAUUCUUGUAUAGUGGGCUAAUGAUCCAUGGUUUGUAUGGAUUGGGCUAAAACCGAUAAGGUGAUCCAUGGAUAGUCCAUGGAGGUUACAAACUCAUGGAUCAUGGAAUAUGGAAAGCCAUGACAAUUAGGGUUUACAUGGUGUAACCCUACUUGUGCCGCAACUAUUUAAAGACCCCUUGACUAGCAAAAAUUGGCACUACUACAAGUAAGUACAAGAGGGCUAGCCGAGUUUUGAGUGUUAGUGAACUUCUAUCAAGGUUAUUCUAAGUGUUGUGGUGUUGUGUGAGACAUUUGAGGCAUCACACUUGAGGUGUUAGGCUCACAAGGUUCUUAAGGAAUCCAAACAACAAAAAGGUAUGUUCUUUUACUAGCAUUUACAUUAAAAAGUUCGCCAUGCCAUGCUAGUUAGGUUAAGAACCUUAGAAAAGCAAUUUUGCAUGUAUCUUAGUAAAACAUAGAUCCAAGGUUUCUAGGGUUUCAUGUACACCUUAGGAGUGUUAGAAUGCUCAAAACCCUUUAGUUUCUUCUUACACUUGUCACACCAUUUUUCUUUGGCACCUCCUCCAAAUUUACUCGAACCAGACUUCGAGAACUUACUCUUCUUGUUGGAACCUGAAGUUCCUUCAAACUUUUUUUUCUCGCCAACUUCAACCUUGCUGGCGGAUCUUCCCUUGAUCAUAUGUUCAACAAACUUGGCAGCCCAGAUAGCUGCCUCCAAACUAAGUUUCUGGCGCACUGGUACCACAUACUCCCAUUGAAGUCCCUUUGGUGUAUUCAUCAAUAGAUAUACUUGAUUUUCUAACUGAAGUCCCAUUGAAUUCCUUUUGGUGUAUUUCCUUCUUGAAUGUUAAAUAAUUGAUUUUCUAACUCAAGCACAUUUUGGGUCGAGCAAUACUUGCACUUGAAAUGCACCAAGAACUCUACCCAAGUCAGUUGUAGUUGCUCAUUAGGGAUUAGGGACUUCCCCAAAGUGUUCCACCAGCAAACAGCGCCACCUCUAAACUGACGCACUGCAAAUAUGGUUUGUAGCUUGCCUUUGCAACCACAUGUCAUAAAAGCUAAUUCCAUCUCCGAGAUCCAAUCCAUUACUCUGAUAGGAUCUUCGUUUCUAGUGAAGGUUGAUGGGUUGCAAGUCAUAAAACCUUUGUACUGGCAUCCUUUUUUCUCAACUACUUCCUCUUGGUUAUUCCUUCUAUCCACAAGCGGUUCAGUUUGACCAACAGAUCUACUGUAAUUUCCUUCCUCUGAAUGAUAAUCAUUUAAUUCAAGUUGUUCAACAGGCAUUGAAUAUUCAUUCAUGUUGUUCAGCAAUAAUUGCUUCAUUUCUUCCCUUUGUUCAGCCAUCAUUGUCUAAAUCAUGGUUUGUACUCCAGCCAUGGUGAUCGGUUCUAGUGCAGCUUCUGCUAUAGGCACCUGCUCCAUCACAUGAGGUUGAGGUUGCUGAUUUCUACUUGCAUUUCCAGCUCCACUUCGGGUUCUUGCCAUUUUGAUCUAUACUCCAAAUUAGGUGAAUUUAGAUAUUUAUUCAAGAUAGAUAUUUAAAUUCUCCUGAUCACUCUGAAACAUUAAAUGCUAGUUCUAAUAUCGUAGUCAUACGCUUAGAAUCCUAAACACAUAAGGUUUCCAGAUCUAGUUAGCAACAGACCAUAGAUCCGCACAAUUAAUAGAAUAUAUAGCAAACAUAUAGCAUUUAGCACAUAAAAACAUUUUAGGCAUCUUUCUUAAAAUAAACUAGUGCUCAUAUCUAAACUAUGGUAGACACUCAUCUCACGAUCAUCACUUAGCAUUCUAAGUUUAAGUCUAGAAAUCCUACAAAUUCCUAGUUCGCUUAAACUAAUGCUAUGGUACCAACUAUGACAUCCCCAAAUUUCCCUGCCAGAAAAGACCGAUUUAGUUUUUCCUUUAAAAUAAAAUCAAAGUAAUCUUCUAAAAGAUGUUGCGGAAUUUAUCCCCAAAACAAAAUAUGAUAAAAAUUUAUCAAAGCAAUUCUUAAAUAAAUGUAUUUUCACUAUAUAACAAAACAUCAGGAUGCCAUGUUCCGAUACAGACCAAAAGCAUAAACAGUACAUUAUAAGCCUUACAAUAGUUAUUUACAUCUACGAGCCUAUAAUUCAAGAAUCCCUCGUCAUCCCCAACAAUGCUCUCAGUCCACUACCUGUAACAAAAAGCUGAGUGGGUCAGGCUUGGAAGCCUGGUGAGCAUAUAGGGUUUUCAACUCACAAAUAAUAAAUUUAUUUAUUUCAACAACCAACAAUAAAUUUAUUAGUUUCAUCAACCAACAAUAACGUUGCUUACCCGUUCCUGUUAUCCUCACUUUACGUCCCUAAACACCUAUCACAAGGGACCUAGCCUAAGGAUCAUCAUCAGGAUGGACACUACUGCUAAGGGGAUUCCUCAGCCAUACAUGUCCUUAAGGCAACCAAGAGGGGGAAGGAGUACACCAGCGAACAUAUAGUUCACCAACACCUACAGGUUGCGAGCCUGCUAAUGUUCCAUUGGACUGUCUAGAAAGGUCUGUGGUUGUCAUCUAUACUCUGCUAGAUGAAUACAACAACAACAACAACAAUAACAUCGAGGCCUCUCAUAAUUUUAACACACAUCAACUAUUUCAUCUAGACAUGUUUUACCCAACAUAUUUGUAGAUAAACAUACAUAUACCAUUUAAAACUUGUAUAAAACAUUUAUUCAACACCCAUCUCAAAUAAACAAACAAUAUAAUUACACAUAGCACGUAUUUUUAAGAAAAUACUUCAUAUUUAUGUGUAAGAUGAAAGUGACUACACGCUCACUUAAUUUAACGAUAAUCAGGAAGCACUUCGUCUCUUAAAACGAUCAUUUUCGAUAAAAACCGGGAUGUUUUCUCAAAAACCGGGCUUCACGCGGGCAAAGUUUCGUCUCGAAAAACUUUUUUCUUGGGAUCUUCGGGCUCUCUGGGCUUGCUUACAAUGCUAGGAUAGUAUUUUAGGUUUAGGGGUAAUUUUUGCAAUAUAAAAGAAACUAUACGGAUGUGAGGAUGGAAAUUGUAACAUCAAUUCGGCUGGCAUCGUCCACUAUUUAUAGUGGUUGAACACUCGAGUUACGUUGGGCGUAACUCUAUGGUACGCGGGGCGUACUGCUUCACCAGCCACUAAGUUGGGCGUACGAAGGGAUCGUCUCAGAUGCAUCAAGGCUACGAACACGCGUCUAUCAUGUGAAGGAGUAGGCGACGUGGCCAACUUCGGACCGAGUAAACGAGUACGCUGGACGCACUCCGAUUUAUCAAACUUCAAAAAUUUGGAACUUUCGCAUACGAACUCCGUUUUUAACAUUCUUUAGAUCCAUACGUAGGUGAUACCAUGCUCUACAACUUUCGUUUAGACACCGUCGGCUAAUUUUAACAGGCCGGGACAUGAAAAGUCUGUUGAAAAUUCAUAACUUCUUCAUCCGACGUCCGUUUCUGUCUGUCUUUUUACCGUUAAACUACAAUCGACAAGAUCUUCGAUUCUCAUUUAAGUUAUGUCGGCUAAAAAUCGCUCAAUCUAUAAUUUGAGUUUCGGGCUGCAUACUAUUAUACAAAAUCUUAGAAAAUUCAUACCUUCCUCAUACGAAGUUAGAUUUUGACAUUCUUUUUGUGCACGCUCUCGGUUUAACGUAUUCUACGACAUUCAUUUAUAUUUCUAAGGCUAAAAAGCACUUUAUCGAAAACUCACUUUUUACGUCACACAACGUUGUGCCGGUUCUAUCGCAAAACUUCGAUAGGUUAUAACUUCUUCGUUAUAACUCGGAUUUCGAUAUUCUUUAUAUCUUCGGAAUCCUUGUUUCAACCACUACCACUUCCUUCAUAAAUAUCUAGUUUAUCUAACAUUUAUUUUCGAUGCUAUUUUUAUCCUUAAUUCAUUAAAUUAUAAUAAUUAAGUAUAAAACACAUAAUAGUCAAAUAAUACAUCUUAUUAUUUCAAAACAAAUUACAAAGGGUGACCUAGACUAUUACAUCAUCAUUAAUGCCUAGCCUAGAAGCACUGGCGUUACAGUAUGUCCCAAAGGCUUGACACACUAAGCAAAGGUGAGCAGGUGUGACUGAUGUGUCCCAGUGAGGUUAGGUCCAGGGAUCUGGUUUAGCUAAUGUGUCCUAAGGCCUCGAUGUACUGAGCAAGGUGGAUCGGGCUUAGCCGACGUGUUCCAACGGGUUUAUGUUUGUUUAUGAUUUGUUCUCUGACUUGCAUGUGGUUGUGUAGUUACUGUGGUUGAUGACUCAACAUUAGGGGUAUAUCUCGAAUGAGAUUAUACUAUGUAUUUGUCAAAUUUACUAAGAUUUGUUCUUAACCCUUUCCCGUUAAAGUUAAUUUUUUAGGAUCGACAUGUACUCAUGAUAGCAGGGCGUAUAGCGGUACACAAUUGGCUCACGUCGGAUGGAUAGAGUUUUCAUGACACUAGGGAAUUAUAUUUUCUUUGAUUUUUAGAAUUUAUGACUUUCAAAUGGCUUUAGGAAUUACUUUGAUCUUGUAGUUUGGUUUUGAAACUUUUCUUUAACACAAGUUUUGAUUUUGUUUAUAAUUGUGUUCAUUAAAAAAUAAAAAUUUAUUUUAAAAAUUGGGAUGUUACAAUUUUACAUCUGUUUGAUGUUUUGAAAACCUUUUAGGAGUUUGAAUUUGUGUUUCGAAUGUUGACAUUUUCCAAUACCCUUAAGAGUUGACUCCAAGAAUGUUUAGUAACAUUUUCAAGUGUAAUCUACAUAUUUUGACAUGUAUUCAUAUCGAAAGACUCAAUGAGGACCACAUUCAAAUAUAUCUUUUUGGAUAUUUGGACAAUAUUGUAAUUUAGAGUUAUGAAAGUUUUUCCUUUAUCUUUGUUUUUUAUUAGUUUGUUACCCACGGUAAGCCUUGAAAAUUUUUAAAUGUUAAGGGAUUGACUAUUUUUGACCAAUUUUAAUAAAAAAAAAUCGAAAGUGAAAAGAUUGUUGUUUUUCCAAAAUAUUAAAAGUUUUGUUUUCAAAGAACAUUUCAAAUAAAAACCCAUACAAAGGUGUUCUUAUAAAUAUCAUAAAUGAGUGACAAACUAUUUAAAAAGCCACAUAAGAGAGAAUCGAGAUGAGUAAAUUGAAAGUUUAAUCCUCUGGAAGAGGGAUUCGUCAAGAUGUGUCACGUAGAGUUAUCAUCUGAUGGACAAGCACAAUUAUCAUUCGAAAGGGAAUACUUGGACCUCCUUUAUCCGANNNNNNNNNNNNNNNNNNNNNNNNNNNNNNNNNNNNNNNNNNNNNNNNNNNNNNNNNNNNNNNNNNNNNNNNNNNNNNNNNNNNNNNNNNNNNNNNNNNNNNNNNNNNNNNNNNNNNNNNNNNNNNNNNNNNNNNNNNNNNNNNNNNNNNNNNNNNNNNNNNNNNNNNNNNNNNNNNNNNNNNNNNNNNNNNNNNNNNNNNNNNNNNNNNNNNNNNNNNNNNNNNNNNNNNNNNNNNNNNNNNNNNNNNNNNNNNNNNNNNNNNNNNNNNNNNNNNNNNNNNNNNNNNNNNNNNNNNNNNNNNNNNNNNNNNNNNNNNNNNNNNNNNNNNNNNNNNNNNNNNNNNNNNNNNNNNNNNNNNNNNNNNNNNNNNNNNNNNNNNNNNNNNNNNNNNNNNNNNNNNNNNNNNNNNNNNNNNNNNNNNNNNNNNNNNNNNNNNNNNNNNNNNNNNNNNNNNNNNNNNNNNNNNNNNNNNNNNNNNNNNNNNNNNNNNNNNNNNNNNNNNNNNNNNNNNNNNNNNNNNNNNNNNNNNNNNNNNNNNNNNNNNNNNNNNNNNNNNNNNNNNNNNNNNNNNNNNNNNNNNNNNNNNNNNNNNNNNNNNNNNNNNNNNNNNNNNNNNNNNNNNNNNNNNNNNNNNNNNNNNNNNNNNNNNNNNNNNNNNNNNNNNNNNNNNNNNNNNNNNNNNNNNNNNNNNNNNNNNNNNNNNNNNNNNNNNNNNNNNNNNNNNNNNNNNNNNNNNNNNNNNNNNNNNNNNNNNNNNNNNNNNNNNNNNNNNNNNNNNNNNNNNNNNNNNNNNNNNNNNNNNNNNNNNNNNNNNNNNNNNNNNNNNNNNNNNNNNNNNNNNNNNNNNNNNNNNNNNNNNNNNNNNNNNNNNNNNNNNNNNNNNNNNNNNNNNNNNNNNNNNNNNNNNNNNNNNNNNNNNNNNNNNNNNNNNNNNNNNNNNNNNNNNNNNNNNNNNNNNNNNNNNNNNNNNNNNNNNNNNNNNNNNNNNNNNNNNNNNNNNNNNNNNNNNNNNNNNNNNNNNNNNNNNNNNNNNNNNNNNNNNNNNNNNNNNNNNNNNNNNNNNNNNNNNNNNNNNNNNNNNNNNNNNNNNNNNNNNNNNNNNNNNNNNNNNNNNNNNNNNNNNNNNNNNNNNNNNNNNNNNNNUAUAUAGAGAGAGAGAGAGAGAGAGAGAGAGAAAGAGAGAGAGAGAGGUGGGUUCAAUUGAGAAAAUAAAAAGGUUGAGAAUGGGGGAAUCAUUCUCAGCCACUCAUUUAAUCUACGCCUAAAAAGACACGAUGACAAACUUGUAAAUAUGAUAACAACCUUCAAUCUCAAAUACGUAUCUGUAGAGAAUUAGAUUACAGUUCAAACUCAUUCAUCGUUCAUCAUCCAAAUUUCUUCUCCAACCUUCAACAAUCAUCCAGAUUUCUUCAAUUCAGCUUGAAUACGAUCAGAUCUUCAACAUCUACGAUUAAUUAUACUCCCAGCAUCAUUAGAUCAACAUCAUCAAUAAUCAACAAAAAAUCCACUUCAUAUCAUUCAUUCAACAUCGAUUAUCAAAUAAAACUUAAAAAUUGAGGUUAGAAAAAGAUCAAAUCGUUUUUAUUUUUGAAAAAUUUCAUAUAAUUCUCUAUCAAUCUACUAUUUUGUAAGAUUUAAAUAGUCAAAGUAUCAUGUUUUUAACAUUUUUAAAAAAGAUAAAUUGUAUGCACUCCAACUGUUUGAUGAAAUGCAUAAACUAAAUUAUCACGUUAUAUUCAUAUAUGAAUAUGUUUAGUGUUCUAAAACUCACCGAGUUGGCCGAUUACUCCUCCGAGUACUCGCUACUCCCCCCUUGCUAAGGCGACUUACAUAAUCCCGAGUACUCCCUGAUCGGCCCCUUACGAACUGAGUAGUGUUGUGAAAUUCGGUCAACUCGGUGAUAAUAUACUUAAUGAUUCAUUAUUUAACACACACAUGUGAUUAUUACUACAUAUAAAUCUUAAAUUUUCAGUAAUUAUUCACGAAGUGAGACCAUUAUGUGUUUUUCAUUUUUUGUGUAUUAUUAUGUAUCCAAUUUUGUUAUAUAUUUCAAUCAACUUAUGAUUUUGACAUAUAUAAUUUCCCUAAAAAUAUUUCUACACAAAAUUUAAAAUCCGAGUACUCCCCGAGUACCCGAGUACUCGCUACUCGGUAGUCGGCCGAACAGUUACCGACUAACGAGUUCCACAACCUUGAAUAUGUUUUCUCACCUGAAUCAGUAUAUGAUUAUCAAAACAAAAAAAACAAAUAUGCAAGUCUGUAUGUUAUUCAUAUGUGAAUAAAAUAUAAAAAUUAUAUAUAUUUGUGAAAAUACCUUGUAAUAUUCAUAUAUGAAUAUACUGUGUAAUAUUCAUAAGUGAAUAUAUCAUAUAGUAUUCACAAGUGAAUAUAUUAUGUAAUAUUCACAUGUGAUAUACCAUGUAAUACUAUGUAAUAUUCAUAUAUGAAAAUAUUAUCUAAUAAUCAUAAGUGAAUGUAUCAUCUAAUAUUCACAAGUGAAUAAACUAUGUAAUAUUCACAAGUGAAUGCAUAGUCUAAUAUUUAAAUAUGAAUAUACUAUGUUUAUUAUAUGCUAUAUUCAUAUAGGAAUGAUACUUAAAUUGUAAAAAAAAAAAUUAAUCAUAUUUUUUAUUCAUAAGUGAAUAACGAAUGUACUGUAGAAAAAUCUGGUUCAUUUUUAUUCACUUAUAAAUAACGAUAACUGAAAAUAUAAAAAAAAAAUUAUUUUAUCUUAAAACUAUAUCAAUAUGGAUGUCUAUUUGUAGAGAAUAAAAAAUCAUGAAUUUUGGAAUAUUUAAAAUCAUUUUUCGAUAAAAAUAGCUUGUUAAAAAUNNNNNNNNNNNNNNNNNNNNNNNNNNNNNNNNNNNNNNNNNNNNNNNNNNNNNNNNNNNNNNNNNNNNNNNNNNNNNNNNNNNNNNNNNNNNNNNNNNNNNNNNNNNNNNNNNNNNNNNNNNNNNNNNNNNNNNNNNNNNNNNNNNNNNNNNNNNNNNNNNNNNNNNNNNNNNNNNNNNNNNNNNNNNNNNNNNNNNNNNNNNNNNNNNNNNNNNNNNNNNNNNNNNNNUAUAUAUAUAUAAAAAUAUCCACUCUGUGUGUACGGUUCACGCCGGCACCUUCCCACGGUCCUCGCUAGUACCUGAAACACAUAACACAACAACUGUAAGCAUAAAUGUUUAGUGAGUUCUCCAAAAUACCACAUACAACACAUACGCCACUCGAGGCUAUAGCACGAACCUCCGGUCGUUGUGUCACAGCGGGACCCUCUAGUCCUGUAGCUCAUUGUAUCCUCUGGUCCGGUCAUAGCUCGUUGGGCCCUCUGGCCUAGUCUGUAAUGUUGGACCCUCCGGUCCGGUCUGUAUCGUUGGACCCUCCGAUCCGUUCUAUAAAAUCAUACAACAUACAUAUAUCACAUAGCAAAUAAUCUCAUACUUAGCACAUAAGACCCUCUGGUCAACACAUAAUACCACUCUAGGUAACGUAUAGUGAGAAAACUCACCUCGGAUGUCUCAGUAAAUCUCUAACUCGGUAGAAAUAGGGUCUAGCCUCCGCCUAAUCACAUAAAGGAAAUACUCUCAUAAAUAUAAUCCUCGAGACUAGACUCAACCCUCUCUUAGCACCCUUAGAAGGGUAAAAGACCAUUUUACCCCUCUCUUGACACAAAGGCCCCAUUGUUGACAAAACCCUAAAAGUCAACAAAAGUCAACGGUUAAAAUUUGACCCGACUCGUCGAGUUCAUACGAGUGACUCGGCGAGUCCAUGUGAGUUCUCUGAAACCUUUUAAACAUCUCAUACACGACGAGUUCCCUCUUCACUCGUCGAGUUACUCGGCAACGAAUCGCGAGGCAACCCCGACUCGACUCGUCGAGUCUACUUAUAGACUCGGCGAGUUGCUCCCAUGACAACAUUCAUCUGAACAUCUGAGGUCAGAUCUGCUCCUCCAAUCCAUAGAUCUAGCUUCCCUAUAGCCCAUAAUCUCAUAAAAGUUGAAUCUUGGGCCCUCAUGCAAGGUCCACUAUGCUCAUUUGAGUGAAAUCCCUCAUUUCAUGACAACUCUAGCUCAUUACCCCAAGGGGAAGGCAUAAAGCCGAUUGGAAGGGAUCCUCUGGACCUCUUACGGUCCAGAUCUAUGAAUCAUUUCACCAUGCGACCUCUCUUACUCUAGAUCCAAGCUAAAUAAAGCAUAAAGAAACCUUAAAUUGAACCAUAACAACAAAAUACAAGAAUAGACUCGAGUUUAUACCUCAAAGAUGAUGAUUCAAGCUGAAAGCUCUCUGGAAUGAAGUCCUCUUGCCCCCUUUUUGCUGGAAACCCUUUCCUCCUUAGCUAAAUCACACCACAAAUGAGCAAGGAGCUCUAAUUCUCUCACAACGCGCUUAAGAUCGAAAGGGAUACUCUCUUUGGACAGAUAGCCGCAAAUGGAGGCUAUAAAGCCCUUUAAAUAGGGCUCAGACACUGAGAAGUAGGGCUUCAUAAAACAACGCGGACUCGCCGAAUCCACUAGUCGACUCGCCGAGUCCGGUCAUUAACUCAGAUGGAGAAUCGCGACUCUACUCGGCGAGUCUAAGUGUCAACUCGUCGAGUCCCUCUUAAAAUCUCCAAAAUAAAUAAAUAAAUAAUGUACCUGGAAAUCCGGAUGUUACAGUAUAUAAAUAUAUAUAUANNNNNNNNNNNNNNNNNNNNNNNNNNNNNNNNNNNNNNNNNNNNNNNNNNNNNNNNNNNNNNNNNNNNUAUAUAUAUAUGGAAAAGUGAAUAUUUAGCUGUCAUGUAUUUAAUAUUAGGUAUAGAACCAUGAAAAUUGACUUCAUUUUGAUUAAAAAAAACAUAAUUUUUUUCAUUGUUAGUUUAUUCCUAUUGCUUUUGAGUUCAUAUUAUUUCUUAUUUAAUAAUUUAUCCUCAACAUCUAUGUAUUUUGAAUGUGUUGUUUAUAUUAUUAGAACUCUAGAAGGCUACAUAACUUUCUUUGACACCUACCAUAUAUACACUUGCAUGGUUCUUUUUGAUGUAUUAUGGAAAGAAGUUUAUUGGGUUUUUAAUGAAAAUUUUCAAUCUUUCACUAUAGUUUUCUAUAUUAAAUUUGAAUAUUAAGGCUUAUAUGUAGUUGAUAAUGUAUUGUUAUACAUGGUUUGUGGUGCAAAAUUAAAUAUUUAAAACUCCAUAAAAAUAUGUACAAAUCAUAUCAUCUAGUCUAAUAGAGGAUACANAUAUAUAUAUAUAGGUUCCUUUGAUAUUAAUAAAAAAUUAGAGAUUGUAAAAUAGGUGGAUAGCCUUUUGAUGUUAUGAUCUUUAAUUGUAAAAUCUGGUGGUAGGGUAAUUGUAAAUACAUAGGUAACUAUUCAAAUUAAUGUCGUUAGUAACUAUUGUAUGACUAGUAUUGUAAUUUUAGAAGGAAUCAUAUCAGGUGUGCGUAGAUGAUACAAUACUAUAACCGUAUAUACUUUUUUUUUUCCUUUCUCGAUCAAAAUCUCACUAAAAAACUCUCACGAAAACCCUUUUUUUCUUUCUUUAUCGCAUUUUGCCUUAGUUUUCGUUUGUUAGUUGUGCAAAUUAAAUUUGAAAAAUCAGUAAAUUUUUUAGGAGAAAAUCUAAACGAGGUCACAUCUUCGUUAAUCGAAAUGAAAGGUUAGAAUGCGAGUAAUUUUUCAUUUUAUUGAUAAUGCAUGUUUGUUUUAAUUAGUUAACUAUAGUUUUAUAUAUAAAAUAAGAAAAAGUUAUUAGGUUAUAGUUAAUUGUAUGAAUUAAAAAGGAAUGGAAAUGUUAUAUAAUGGAUAUAAGAUUUAUAUUUCAAGAAUGAAUUAACAUUAAAUAUAUAGUAGAAAUAUAUAAUUAGUAAAGAAAUAACAAAUAUUUAAACUAAAACAAAAUUAAGAUGGUCAAAUGAAAUAUGAUUAAAAAACCAGGGGUUGGAUGUAUUCAAAAUAAAAAUAUAUUGACCAUUAAGGAUAUAUUCACUAAGUAUAUAUAUUAAAUGAUCAACAAAUAUAAACAAAUAAGAUAUGUGUUCCAAUAAUUUUAAAUAGUCAAUAAAAUUAAAGCAAAUAAAAUAAGCUAUAAAAAGAAUUUCAUUGCAAAUACUCUAAAAAAAGAGUUAUUUACAAAUUUUUAUAAGUAUUGUUAUUUAUUAAAAAUAUAUAUUUACGAAACAAACAAUAACGAUAUAAAAAAACAAAAGUAAUAAUUAUUUUAUUUGUCAUUACUAUCUAAUUUCAAACAAAAUUUACAAACCGUAUAAAAUUUUGACACAUUCCAUUUUUAUCAGUGGAGUUUAUGCAAAUUAAAAAUUCUUGAUAUUCCAUAUUUAUUUUAAAAUAAAUGAUCUCAAUUGCUCUGAAAUCAUCUUAAUUAUGAAUACUUAAAGUCCUUUUGUCUUGUAAAAUGAUCCAUCCUUACAAAUUUAUUUUACGAAAAACUUAUAACCUAUACGAAAUUCAUGUCAUUUUCAAUAAAAUUAUAAAAUAAAGUUAUUAUUUGAAUAAUAUAAUGGAAUGCCAACCAAUCAAGGGAAGCUAGUGGUAAGCAAUUGACGAUUUCCAUCUAUAAAUACCCUACGCACUUCGCAUAUCUUCACACAAAACAAAUUGGGUUACAACACUUUCUACUUGUAAGAAACCAAAGCAUUUAAAAAUGGCUUCAAGAGCUUUGGCAACAACAGCUUUUCUCCUUACCUUCAAUCUUCUUUUUUUCACUUUGGUAACAUCCACUCAUACCCCAAAAGGCUGCCCACCACCGCCACCAUCGUCGUGCCCACCGUCACCGAAACCUCCAACACCUUCACCGAAACCUCCAACUCCUUUACUCCCUCCCAAAGCAAGUUGCCCAAAAGACACUCUCAAAUUGGGUGUUUGUGCUAAAUUGCUCAAUGACCUUGUCCACCUGGUCGUCGGAACCCCACCAAAGACACCAUGUUGUACCCUAAUCCAAGGCCUCGCCGAUCUUGAGGCUGCAGUAUGUCUUUGCACUGCAAUUAAAGCUAAUGUCUUGGGAAUCCACCUCAAUGUUCCGGUCUCUUUGAGCCUGUUGCUUAACUAUUGUGGAAAGAAAGUUCCCUCCGGCUUCCAAUGCGCAUAGAUAUGCAUCUUUUCAAUUUAUGGAAGUUUAAUACUAUAGUGUGUUGUAUUUAAUUUGGAAGACGGUUGAUUAUGAUCGAUAUGAUGUAAAGAAUCAUAUGACAUGUGAUUCAACAAUAAAUUUUUCCCUACUAUUAUGUAAUGUUAAUGAUUUUUAUAGAAUCUUAAAUCCUAUAAACUUGUAACUUAAAAAUAAAAGUAAUCGCGUACUGUGAUUUCAAAAUAAAAAAAAUAAUAAAAAAAAACUAAAAUUUUUGUGAAAUGUGCACAUAUAUGUCGCCCUCGGGGGAUGGUGCCAACCGGUGGUUCGUGUUUAGUGUACGGUUCAUAAAUGCCUCAUGGUGGUGGACUAUUCAGUGAUAGGUUGAAAUCCUCAAGACCGGUACUCGUGUACUGCUGAAUAACUAGUACUGACACCAUUGUUGCAAAAUCUAACGAUCCUAAGAAGUCACUUACUGCUCCUAAUUAUGGGCAUUUACUCCGUUCAGUUAACCUGAAGGUCAAAGUCAAAAAUGUCCCUUGACCCGUCCUGAAAAUAAAGAAAUCAUGAAUGUUACCGACUGGUCGUAUCGCCCCCAUUGUUUCCUCGUUGUUGGACGCUAUUGUUUUUGUGUACACAACCCGAUUCUUCAUUUUCAAUUAAUGCUCUAUCUGGUGUAUAAACUAAUCGUUGAUGUGUCAAACAUACUUCAGGCUGAUCAUCAUCAACAUCUGGUACACUAUCAUGCACUUAGCUAGCGUCAACAUGCGUUUCUUGUGCACAAAAGAGUCAGAUGUGCAAUCUUAGAGAUAGUUUCAUUUUAUUGACUUCUUUUUAUAAUUUAUUUUUAAAUAUUUUAUUUUAUUUUUAGUUAAUCUUCAUGCAUAUUUUCCUUUCAUUAUUUUAUAUUUAUAUCAGAUACUUUUUAGUUUUGAGAUUUAUUGCAAAUAUUUAGAGGAAUUGAGCAGAGCGUAGAGGGUGUGACAUCCCCAAUUUUUAUGAUGAGAAAUUACCAAUUUGUUUAUAAAUAUUUAAAAAUCAGAGUAUCAUUUUUGAAGAAUAAUAUUGCGGAAUUUGUUCCCAGAAAACAUGAUAAUGAUAUUAUCAAAUCAUUUUUGAAGAAAUGUAUUUUAUUUAUAUUAAAACAUUGAGAUGUCAUCGUCAAUACAAAAUCAUAAACAUAACGAAUUAUUACAAGCCUUACAGUAAUUAAACUAGUGACCUAAUACUCCUUGAAUCUCUCAGCAGAAUGUAUCUUUCAAAUAGCAACUUGUUAUACAAUAAAAUGAGUAGGUCAGGUUGGGAAACCUGAUGAGUACAUAGGGAUUUCAAUCCCACAACGUGAUAAUAAUGUAUAUCUUAAACCUGCAACACCAACUAUUAUCAAUAACACUGAUAUAUCAUAACUCUAAAAGAAUUUAUCCCAUCCCAUCAAUUCCUAUUUACUGAUCCUAUACAAUGAUCUUACAAGAUCUAGCCUAAAGUAUUAAUAUGAACAACGAACUAACAACGCUGCUUUAGAAAUUCCCUGGCAGCAAACUAGGAUCAAUAUAUACAUCAAAUGAGGGGAAUGAAAUAAGUUUCACUAUGAACAUCCGUUUGUAAAAACAAUAAGACAAUUAAGUCAGAGGUGGAUAUCUAGAUAAUUGUGCCUAGCAGUGGUCUGCCACCGUCAGGUAUUUUACCCCCAAAAUCACCCUAUCCGGCAAUAUAACGUCAUACGUACCUAGUAGUGGUCUAUUACUGACAAACUCUAUUAAGCAGACUAUGAAGUUCCCUCAAUUACUUCGUGAAAGGAAACGCUGACACACAAAGCUCAUCAAAAGAAAAAGUAUGGGGAAAUACUAAUAAAGUACUCACGUACGUUGCCGUACUCCGACAGAUAAUAGUGUCAAAAAGGACUUUGUACAUAAUAGUACUUUUGGCACAUUAUAGUACCCUAGUAUGAGUAGGACUCGUACCCCAGAACAUAAUAAUACCCCGACACAAGCAGCACCUGAGAUAUAGAGCUUUGAAAAAGACUUGGUGCAUAGAAAGUACUUUUGUACUUUGGAAAUACUCCAUCAGUCAUCAAUCUCCUCGAACAUAGUUUCUACUCUCUAUUGCGAUCACACACGUACCAUUAGUAAUAUGCUACUUAAUAUCCAAACUUAAUUGAACUAAGCAUCUCUUUUAAGUCUUAUUUUAUCACUAGGCAAACCUACAAUGCUUAUAAUCAUCAUUCAAUACCAACCCUGUUUCAGCAACACUAUCCUAAUUUAGUGUUAUAUUUUAUACAGAGUAUCAAGUAUUAACAUACAUUUAUCUUCUCAUUUAUAAUACUUCUAUUAUUAUUAUCAUGUAAACAAAUCUCAGCAUAUGUAGAACCAUGUCUAGUUCACAUAGCAUAUAUCAUCAAAUAUACAUAAAACACAUAUUUCCAGAUAAUAACUAUAUAACUCACAUAUAAACUUUCAACAUAUAUUUAAUACUUUAAUACUUGUAUUAAAAUCAUAUUCAUGAAAGUGACUAUGCACUCACUUGUUAAAGUGACGAUUCGAAAUUCGGGCAACGCUUCGCUUCUACCAAAUUUCUUUUCCUUUGACGAAACCUAGUAUCAUUAUCACUAAGUUUUAGUCUAAUAUUUACUGCAACUAAUUAUUAUUCUUGAUUCAUCGUUAACUCAAAGUCUACUUCGAGAUCUAUCAAGUAUGGAACAACUAGGUAGGAUCAUAUUGGUGGUAUGGUCCGUUUGGUAUAAGAUGUAUACUAUUUGGAAAUCUCACUUUAAACACCUCAAUAAAUCCAACCUACACAUCAUCCCCGUAAGUAGAUCUGAUGGGAUUAAAACAACUUUUAAUCUAUGAAGAUCGAUUAGAUCUUGAACAAGUAUAUGAAUAUGAAACAGUAAAAACGCAAUAAUAAGAACAAACAGCUUGAAUCAAACGUGUCGAAUGAUUAAAUAAAAUCCUUAGAAGAGCUCGAUUAAGAACAUCAACUGUAAAGGAUUAGAAGAUUACAAGAACGAUUACAGAAAAAUAAAGUACUCUUGAUCAAUCGCUAUUUCGAUAAUCUCUCGAAUCUUAACCUAAUAUGCAUGCAAGCAUUUAACUUAUAUACAAUACAUAAAAGGCUCUCGGUUGGACAGGCCCAAACCGGAGAAUACAAGGCUAAUCAACGAGCCCAAAAGACGCAACAUCAAAACUAUCUACAGCCCAACAAUCUCCCCCUUUGCGUCAAUUUGGAGCGAGACCUUCACUUCUUACUUGGGCCGGCAGCUGAAGCUGGUACCUUCUUCUUCACGGUGUUAAACAGACACUUGGUUAUGGAGAGGAUGGUCUGUCUAAACCGGAUGUACCAAUUGAUCAUAUCAUUGAAGUACUUGAUGUCAUCAGCCGAAUUGUCUUUACACCGCUUGAUGAUUGAUAAGACGUGCUCCAAGCAAGUUGUGGUGUAAAGAUGUUUGUCAGCUAAAGCGAAGAGACAUUUCUGUCCUUCGGCUCUAGUGAACAUCACAGAGUUUCGCCUCGGAUCUAUCUUGCCCAUUUGCAUUUGAUUUAGAUCACUGGCCGAUCCCACAGGUGCGACUUUCGGUUUCUUCUUAAAAACUGUGGCGACCUCCUGAUCCAUUAGGGCAACCUCCAUGAUAUAGCAUGCCAGCAUCCUUUUGACAUGGUCUAUGAUGGGACCAUAUUCAGAUUCAUUUGUCAGCAGGAUAUUGUACAAGACUAUCCAAUCAUGAGGAUUCAGAUUGGGCAGAUCCGCCAGGGAGAUGAUGUGGGCAGUUCUUGCAGAUCCUCGGAUGAGCUUGAACUUAACGUUUGUGAAUCUCCCCACGGCAUAAGGCUUCAGCACCCGAACAUUAACAAUCUUCUGGGCGCUCCAUGUAAGGUAUUGAGGGCGAGCGGCCUCCAGGUAGAAGUCAAUGAGCUCCCUGUCAAGCUCAUCGUUCGGAUGCGGGACUUCAAAAAUGUUAGAGAAGGCGUGGAAGAUGAACGCCUUUCGAGUCAGCGGCAUAUCAAACUGCGAAUCGAUAGAGUUGUUGCAGUCGAAUGAUAUCACCGGCUCGAGCCAUAGUAUGCUUGGAGUCUCUAUGGCCUCUUUUAUCAUACGAUCCCUGGUCCAGGCAGGGAAGAGCAACUUUCGGCUCUCAAGGAGAUCGUGGGCUUCUUUUUGCUUUCGUUCGGCUUCUUCAGCCUCACGCGCCACACGACUGGCAUCGUCUUCAGCAUUGCGACUGUUCUUUCUUUUUAACAUGUCCGCAAUGGUCUCCUUGUCUUCAUCUUCAUCUUCAUCUCCUCCCUCAGCUAUGUUUUUGCCCUUGUUCUUCACACCCGAACCCGAGGCAUGACCAGUUGGGGGUGGUUCGGUUGUGUGAGUAGCUUUGGAGGAAGGAGGUGGUUUCGAUCCUUUCUUCUCAUCUCCCCCUUGUUUCGGAAUGGACACGAAACUCGGUAGGCCUUCAAUUUUGCUUAAAAGGUCCAUGGCCGGAGAGAGUUUUUCAGCGAGGGUACGCCUCACUGAGUGGUUAAGGAUGGGGUCGUGUGCUUCCAGGAUGUUUGAUAGAGCUGCGUGGACAUCCGAAACACACGUCUUUAUGACCUCCCUCUCGGAUCGAAGAGCUUCCAAUUGUUGCUGGGAGUUGGAAAGCUGCGUGCUCUUGACCUUAAGGGCGGUAGUCUUAUUCGCCAAGACGUCCAUCAGAGAAUUUUCUGCCGCAAGAUCCUCUUGUAGCUUUGCCAGGCGGGCAUCGAUGGAGGCACGAAGUGCCGAGUUGUCGUCGCUAAGAUGUUGUCUGAGAGUAGCGAACGAAGACAGCUCCGUCGAGACAAACUUGGCCAAUUGUUGAACAACUGGUUCCAGAGUUGUCUUAGUGGCUUCGGCGCUCUCCUGCAAAGACUGCAGCAGGACAGAAGCGUCAUUGAAUAGUUUAUCGACUUUUUCGGUCGCUGCCUCACAGGCUCGGGUGGAGGCGUCGAUAGCAGCAGUUGCUGAGGCCACGGAAUCAUGUUGAGCCCUGGAGAAGGCGUCAACGAUCUUCUGAAGGGCAGCUUCAGACAAAGAUGACUGCUGGUUGGAAGAGGAGGCGAGAAGUUGAUCAACCUUCUCGUUAAGCUCGCGAAGAUGCUUCCGUGUCACUGGAGCAUCAUCCUCCUCAUCACUCUGAACUUGAAACGGACUAUAGUAGACCGAAUCGAAGUUCAUGUGAUCACCACCAAGGUAUUGAUCACCGCCAUCGGAGGCGUCUUCUGGAGAUUGAGGUGGUGGUGAAGCUGGGGGUGUUAUUGGUUUGGUUGGUUCAGGUUGAGUGGGUGGGGGGUUAGUUUCGGGUGGUGGUUGUGUAUGGGUUUCGGUUUGUGGAGGUUCGGUUACAGGAGGGGUUUCGGUUACAGGUGGUGUUUCGGUUGAUGUGGUGAAUAUGGGUGGAGGUAUAGGGAAUGAGGUUGGGGGAAUAGUGGGGUUUAUGGUGGGAAUGGAAAUAGGAAUUGUGGGUGGAGGUGAAGGAACUGGGGAUUGAUGAAGUUCCAUCUCUGGGGUUGGGGACCGAGGUGGUGUGUUGCCUCGUUGAGGAGAUUCGUCUCCUUGUGAUCCCUCAGAGUCCGAACUCCCACCUUCGGAUUCGCUUGAAGAGGAGGGAAUGACGAGCUUUCGCUUCUGUUGGGUCUUCCUCCUUUUCGGUUGUGGGGAUGAAGCAGCCUUCGGUUGUUUUCGCUUCUUGGGUGAAGGUCCCUUUGGAGCCUUGGACACUUGCUUUCCCUUCUCUGACUUUUUACCCCUGACUACCGGUUUGUCGGCAUCAUGAAUCGAGCGCAGCAUGUCCGGUGUCAGUUCCCUCGGACCAGAUGGCCCUAACUCCUUGAUCGCCUUGAUCAUACUGCUGUCUGAAGGCACACUUCCAUACAUAGUCUCCGGGAUGGAGCCAAUGAAGGAGAAUUUUGAUGCAUCCGAGACGAUGAUCUUCUUGGUAUGGAACGUACCAAUAGAAGACAUCGNGCUGUUGGAACGUCGAACUUGUCCAUGGCCCAUCUUGUGAUCAAGAUCCAGAACCAGGCCAGCGACACCUCGGAGUGUCGGGAAGAGGAAGAGAGGCUCUGAAUCAACUGUUGCCAAAGGACAAACCCAUAGUCUAUGUUUAUCCCAUUGUACACUCCGUACAUUAUCGAGAGGAAAAGACGACUUGCACCGUCAGAUCCUGAGCUCCUCUCUGACAGUCCCUUGAAGAGAACUAUAAAUAACCCAUUCCACUGGGGCGGUAGGCAGGACUUCUUAAACCUGGCGACGGAGGUGAGAACCUCUGUGUAGCCCAUGUUGUAGAACAUGCUGUACAACAUCCCAACCGGAAUCGUCUCCGGGUGAACUCGCGAUGAGUCAGCGGCAAACCCUAACAAAGUGCAGAAAUGUGGGCGAGAAAUUGAAGUUUUGUGUUCUGCUACUUCAAAGAAUACCCGGUCGACGACCUUGUCGUAGUAAGCCGUCGCAUAGACCUGAGAUAAGGCCACCAUCGGCACCGUUUCAAUUCUCGACAGUGCAGGAGCAAGCUGGGAGUACUUGAGGCAUUCUAUGACCGGCGACAUGUAGGGAUUAUACGCCACUGGGUUCAGAUCGAUGACUAGGCAUUGUUGGGGUCGGAUGGGAAGAAUUUGGGAAGUUGCAUGAACAGAUGAAGAUUCAGCCAUUGUUGCAGGUUUGGAGAAGAAGAAGAACGGGAGAGUGUUUGGGAGUAUUUUUCCUUUGGGAAUUAUGGGGGCAGUAAAGAGGUAAAAGGUGUUGUUGAUGGCUUUUUAUAGUUGGUGAGGAGAGAGAAAAAUCGUUUCAAAUCUCUUAUGGAAAUAUGAAACGGGUUUUUGAGUGACUGAUUGGUGACAGUUGGGGCGUGCGAUGAUCACGUAGGAGAGAGAGUGUCAGAUUCCUAGGAUUACGCCGCCCAAUAAGCGCCGGUUCAGAGAAAGGAACCGUUUCCAUUUCCACACGCGCCUCUUUUGCCAGAUUGAUGACGCUUCAUUAUCGCACACGCGUCCUUUAAGUGUCAGAAAAAGCGCGGUCGUUUCAAAUUCACGCGCCCUCCUUUUUACCGUCGUUUGAAUUUCUAUCCAUUUAACUCCCGCCGAGUCAACAACUUUUUGUCUUUUCCCCUUUUAAACGGGUGUUUUCAAUUAUUGACCCACGUGGCUAAUUUUUUGACCACAACUUCAAUAGUAACCCUUCAGUAAUAAUCCAGCCUGUAAAAUAAUUAGUAACGGAAUUUUUGAAAAUCUAGGAUUUUCGUGCAAAGAGUGUAAAAGAAAAAGAAAUAAAGCAACUCUUUUUAGGAUAAUCUGUGAUGUCCAUAAAGACACGAAACUGAUGAUCCCGGGCACGAAUCUCUUCCUUCAAGGUCAAGAAAGACCUCAAAGUGUUAGUGUGGAAUCCCGUUGAAUUACGAUCAAACACUUAUUAAUAAAUGUUGAAAGGCUUCUUUUAAUUAGGCUAAUUAAGGGUGGUUUCGCUUUGAUGCAUCAAUUCAAUUCUUGAUAUAAGAACGAAAGAGAACAAAGUACUUGUGAGACCGGUGUAGUCUGUUGAACAAGUAGGUAGGAGUUGAUUUUAUAGUGGCUUGGAUUAAUAUGAAAUCUCAGAUAAAAAAUGUAAAACUGGAUCCCUUGGGAAGAAAUGUUAUGGUGUGUAACAAUUUCAUUGGAAUCACGCAAAAGAAAAUUUGAGAUUCCAUGAAGGUACAUUCGUCAAUUCAUUGGUGAAAACUUGAUCAAAUUAAUUGGUCACCGUCAAUUCGUUGGUGUUGAAUUUUGGGUUUCACUCAGCUCGUAGUGGCACGAAACUAAGAUCAUAAACACAGAUGUUGUGUAACCAUAAACCUCAGUGGUAGUUUCUGAGAGUCUCAAGGGUUACAAUGAUGAAACGAAUGUAAUGGAGAAGUGUAAUGGGGAUGGUGAAAGAAAACAUAGUACCUCUGCUGCGAAAAUAAGGACCAAGCAGGAGACUCUUAACUCAUGUGAGAAGAGAGUGAGGUAGCUCACGAUUAGAAUAAAUGAGUUAGCCUUAUUGGGAAGACAAGGUUUGUGUAUACCAGGUCAUGAAGGCUAUUAUUCAAAAUCUUAUGAGGCUUGGGACACAUACAGCAGCAUGCUUCUAGGGACACUUAAGUAAUUUAUCAAAUAUAUCCCCAUGAACGAACGAGCACACAAAGAAAAAUUAAAUAAAGUAUUUUUUUGGAGUAUUUGAAAUUUAUAAUAAAAGAAAAAAAAUUGUAGAAAAAAAAAAUAAGAGUUAAAAUAAAAUAAAGACUUAAAAAAAACUCUGGAAAACCGAAUCCGAACCUUCGGUUAGUUUCGGUUCAAGAAAUUUUGGAAAACCGAACCCGAACCUUCGGUUGGUUUCGGUUCCGCAAAAUGUUGAAAAACCAAACCCGAACCUUCGUUUGGUUUCGGUUCCACAAAAUUUUGAAAAACCGAACCCGAACCUUCGGUAGGUUUCGGUUUUGGAAAAUUUUGAGAAACUAAGAAUUUUAGAUAUACAAGUAAUAAAUACUGUUAACAUAAAGAAAAACAAGAUAGUACAUGUAAUAUACAACUCAGAAAAACUACCUUUGAAGUAAUGAGCGAGUUAGAUGGUUGAACCGAACCCGAACGUUCGGUUGGUUUCGCUUCUUACGUCUGAGGUUGAGAGGUAGUGUGAGGUACUGACUCAGAUUCCAUCAUUCCUAGCCCUUGCAAUAUUUUAUUGAAUGAAGCUUCUGGAAGAGCUUUGGUAAAGACGUCAGCCAGUUGAUCAGUGGUUCUUACGAAGUGAACUUCGACAUUUCCAUCUUCCACAUGAUCUUUGAUGAAGUGAUACCUCAGUGCUAUGUGUUUGGUUUUAGAGUGUUGCACUGGGUUAUGACAGAUCCUAAUUGCACUUUCAGAGUCACAAUAUAGUGGGAUCUUCUUCAUAUUGAGUCCAUAGUCUCGAAGUUGACUCUGGAUCCAAAUCACUUGUGAUGUGCAGGAUGCAACAGUAAUGUAUUCCGCUUCGGCAGUAGACAGCGACACACAUGUUUGUUUCUUGGAUUGCCAGCUGACCAACUUCCCAUCAAGAAAUUGACAGCCACCAGUUGUGCUUUUGCGGUCGAGUCCACAUCCUCCAAGGUCAGCAUCAGAAUAGGCUUGAACGAAGAAGCCAGAGUUGGAUGGAUACCAUAGACCUAAGGAGGCGGUUCGCUUGAGAUAGCGUAGGAUGUUCUUCACUGCCAGCAUGUGAGGUUCGCGUGGGUUAGCCUGAAAUCGAGCACAAUAACAUACAGAAAACAUGAUAUCAGGCCUGCUAGCAGUUAGAUACAUCAGUGAGCCUAUCAUUUGACGAUAGAGCGUGAUGUCGACAGCCGGUUUAUCUAGUGAAGGGGUAAGUUUGGUGCCGAAUGCCAUUGGGACUUUGACUUUUGAGUCUCCCAUCAUGCCAAACUUUGCUAGGAGAGUCUUCGUGUAAGCUUCCUGAUUGAUAAAGAUGCCUUCGGGUCCCUGUCUUAUAUUUAAACCAAGGAAAAAAUUAAUAGGACCCAUUGAGCUCAUUUCAAACUUAGUCUCCAUCAACUUUCUGAAUUCAGCUGUUAAGCUGGGAUUCGUAGAGCCAAAGAUGAUGUCAUCGACAUAAAUUUGAACUAUCAUAAGGUGGUUACCUUCCUUUUUGCGAAAGAAGGUUGGGUCAACCGAACCUUGUUUGAAUUUGGACAUCUUUAAAAAUUUUGUAAGCGUUUCAUACCAGGCUCUCGGAGCUUGUUUGAGGCCGUACACAGCUUUAUCCAGAAUGUAGCAAUGAUUUGGAUACUUUUCGUUCACGAACCCAGGAGGUUGCUCCACAUACACCGUUUCUUCAAGUUCUCCAUUGAGAAAUGCGCACUUGACGUCCAUUUGGAAGACCUCAAAGUUUUUGUGAGCAGCAUAGGCCAGAAAUAUUCUAACCGAUUCUAGCCUAGCUACUGGAGCGAACGUCUCUUCGUAAUCUAUCCCUUCCUCCUGACAGUAUCCUUUGACAACCAGACGAGCCUUGUUCCUUAUGACAUUACCUUCCUUGUCCAUUUUGUUUCUAAAAACCCAUUUGAGACCAACAACUGAAGCAUCCGGAGGAGUUGGAAUGAGGCGCCAGACUUUGUUCCUUUCAAACUCGUUUAGUUCGUCUUGCAUUGCUUGAACCCAAUCAGAGUGAUCGAGGGCAGUGUUCACUGUCUUCGGUUCGACUUUUGAUACAAAUGAGUUAAACAUACAAAACUCAACUUUUGAGAAUAAGGAUGUCUGUUUUGCCUUCAGUUGAGAUCGGGUCAGAACCUUUUCAGAUACAUCACCAACUACUUGAGAGAUAGGAUGAUCUCUGGUCCAUUUUGUAAGAGGAGGGUAAUUCGGAUCAAAGGAUGGAUCUAGUUCAGCGUUGAUCAUCUCUUCAGGCUCAGAUUGGCUAUCAAAAUCAAGCGUCAUAUCAUCAUGCUCCCCCUCAAUUGAUGAGUCUUGACAAACAUGAGGUUCAGGGGUUUCUUGUGGUGCUGGAUUUUCAGGCAUUGAAGCACCUUCGUUUGGAGGGGCAUCUUCGGUUGGAGAGUUACCUUCGGUUGAUGAAGGACCUUCGGUUGAAGUAGUAGAGCUUGGCUCCCCCUGGACUUGUGAGCUAGGCUCCCCCUCGACAAGAGAACUUGGCUCCCCCUCGACUGAAGCAUUGUUGGUUGGAGAUUCAUCAGUAGGCGAUUCUCCUUCAUGCAUUCUUCUUGCAGCAUCUUCGACAAUCUUCUUCAUAUGAUCUAUUUUGUUGUCGGCUGCCCCUGCUUCUGAGAGAGAAGCUUUUUCCGGUUCAUCAAAGAGAUCCAGAAAAUUCUCGUACAUAUUGGCGAUUGAGACUGUGACUUGACCAGUUUGAGGGAAGAUUUCCCUGGCAGUGUCAUCUAUGGCCUGUAGCUUCUUGACAUAGCUAUCGUCGAAGGUCACAUAGUAUGUUUCUUCAAUCCUUCUUGAUCGUUUGUUUAGGACCCUGUACGCCUUUGAAGUGAGUGAGUAACCCAGAAAGAUUCCCUCGUCGGCUUUGACAUCAAACUUGUUGCGGUGUUCUUUAGAGUUAAAGAUGAAACACCUUGAGCCAAAAACGUGGAAAAAUUUCACAUUGGGCUUCCUGUUGUUUAAUAUCUCAUAUGGUGUGAGCGUGAAUCGCUUGUUGAGAUAGGACCUGUUUUGUGUAUAACAAGCAGCAGAAAUAGCGUCAGCCCAAAAAUAAAGAGGUAAGGAAGCGAAACUUAACAUAGUUCGGGCAGCUUCACACAAAGAUCGGUUUCGUCUUUCGACUAUUCCGUUCUGUUGUGGUGUGUAGGGAGCUGAGAAAUUAUGGCUAAUUCCCUUUUCUGCAAGAAACUCUUCAAACUCCCUGUUCUUGAAUUCGAGACCAUUGUCGCUCCUGAUGUUGCGAACGACCUUCUUGAGCUGGACUUCAAUUUGCUUGAUAAACACUUUCAGCUUUUGAGUCGCUUCAGAUUUGAGCUUUAGAAAGAACACCCAUGUAAAUCGAGAGAAGUCAUCAACGAUAACAAGAAUGUACUUGCUACCACCGAUGCUUUCAAUAGAUGAAGGACCACACAAAUCGAUAUGAAGCAAUUCGAGUGGUUCAACAACUUUUGUGUUAAUUAUGGAUGGGUGACUUUGACGACUCUGCUUUCCCAUUUCGCAUGCAGCACACAAAUGCUCUCUGUCAAACUUGAGCAAUGGAAGACCCCUAACAUGACCUCCAGUGACAAGUCGGUUGAUAUCUUUGAAAUUGAGAUGAGAGAGUCUUCUGUGCCACAACCAGCUUUCGUCGGAUUGAGCUUUUGAUAGCAGACAUAUGGCUGGGUUUCCUUUGAUGGGUUUCAUGUUCAGAGGAAACAUUUCACCCUUUCGCUCUGACUUCAGAAUCACUUUCUUUGUCUUUUUCUCUAUGAUUUCAGAACCUUCAUCAUCGAAUGAAACUUUGAGACCUGUACCUCCAACAAGCUGAGAUACACUGAUGAGGUUGUGUUGGAGUCCUUCCACAUAGGCCACCUUCCUUAUUGUAAAGUCACCAUUCGUUAUCAUCCCGUAUCCCUUUAUGGUGCCGAAAGAGUUAUUUCCAAACUUAACGUUGCCACCAUUUGCAAGAGAUCUGUAUUCCCUGAGCUCCUCUUUCCUCCCUGUCAUGUGACGCGAGCAGCCACUGUCGAUGUACCAUUCUUCGUCAAACUGCUCGUCACUUAUAACCUGCAAAAAUUAAGCAGAUUUAGGAACCCAAAGUUUCUUGGGUCCAUGUGAGCUUUUCAUGGGAACGGGAAUAGUAAGAGAGAUGUCAACUAGAUAUGUUCUUUUAAUUAGAGUUGUUUCAUCUUUCUUUUUAAUGGUAAAGACUUUUAUUUUGUUAGGAUUGGGUUUGUUCGCUUUGGACUCAGGUUUGGAUUCAUCGACCUUCUGCUUUCCUUUCUGUUCAGCUGAUGGAUGAGGUUUUUGACAACAUGUGGGAUUAGCUUUAGAGCAAGAUGGAGAUGAAUGAGUGGAAGUAGAAGAACGAGAAGAAUUAGAAUGAGAGGAUUUGGAUGGAGAUGUCUUCCUGGCUGAUGAUUCUAGGUGACCCUUUUGCUUUUGAUCGUUGGCGGGGCUGACCUUUGAGUCUUGUUCUCUUUUGGCUUUAGAGCCGAACCUCUGUGUUCGGUUGGAGUUGUUCUUGGAACCGAACCUUUGGUUUCGGUCGAAUUCCUUUUCAGAACCGAGCCCUUGCUUUCGGUUGGUGUUUUCUUGCGAACCGAACCUUGGCUUUCGGUUGGUAUUUUCUUGCGAACCGAACCUUGGCUUUCGGUUGUUGGAACUUUCAGGCNGGUUGUUGGAACUAUCAGGCUUUCUUACAGGAUUGUUUUCAUACUUCAGAUUCUUGUCCUUGUGUGAAUAGUAUGCAUUCUGGGAGUGCCAGAAUUGUUUCCUUUCAGAAAGGUUUUUCCUGUAUCUUUGGUUCCUUUCUAUCUUCCUAUCCCUCAUCUGCUUGGGUUGAUGAUGAACGUUCGCUUUCGUUUUUGUUGUCACCUUGGCUGGUUCCUUUUGAACUUCAGGAGUUUUUCUUUGAGCCGAGGGAGCAGAUGGAAUAUCUGAAGAAGAUUCAGUUUGCCCUGAGGAAGUGGAGGGAGUAUCUGAUGAAGUUUCACUACGAGCUGUUGGAGUAGAGGGUAUGUCUUCUUUUGCUGAACAAUCAUCCUCUUGAGGAAUAUCUUUCGUACCACUGGUGCUUGGUUCACUGAAAUUAUCAGGCUUAUUCAAUGGUUCAGGGAUGUAUCUUCCUUUGCUCAUCCAGGAGGUUCUUUCAGACAGGCCAACGGUUUCGUUUGCAUUAUCAAUAGGAGCUUCCCAGAAAUACUCAUCACAGCCAUCAGCAUUGUCUUCAUUAACAAUAGCUGUGAGUUCAGCUGUUUGAUGUUCGGUUACUCCAGUCACCUUGUAUACCUGAUUCGGAGUGGUCCUGACCUUUUGAUACACGACAGCUUUUUCUACUAGUUUCGGGGACUUUUGUUGGGACAGUCUAGCGAAUUCCACAGAAUUUUCAGAGAUAAGAUUUUUGUGGUUUUUAGUUUCGCUUUUAACGAAUUCUGAGCAGUCAACCGUAUCCUCUACAGAAAUUUCACUCAUGUUUUCGUCCUCGUUAAGCUCAGAUGCAUUUUCAACAUCUAUUUUAUUUUCUGAGCUUACGUUGGCGUUUAGGGAGUCAAAUUUUUGCAUGGUUUCGGUUCUCAGUUUAAGUCGGUCAUUUUCGUCCAAAAGGUUUUUGAGCAUGUCCUUGUGGUCUUUGGAUUUAAUGAAGGACUCAAUUUUGUCCAGUCCAUACAUGUAGGUCGGAUUGACAUCAUCAGACGAUAUCACACUCUCACAUUUGUAGGCUUCGGCAUCGAUUUCAUCCUCCUUAAAUUCUAGGAAGGGCAAAAUCAUGCGAUGGAUCUUUUGGCCUAUCUCACAAUCCAAGUGAAGUUGAGUAAUAUUGGAAUAUAAACGUUUAGCUAUUAAACAAAAAACAUUUCGUUGUUUUAACAAUUUCAAAUUGUCUCUCUGCAAAUAAAUGUUUUCGUCUUUAACUUUAACUAAUUCCGACUCUUUUAACUCAAUCCACAUUCGCCGCUCCUCACUCUUCGACGCCACCCUGCUUAAUUGAUCAGUCAGGUUAGAAUUGGUGACUCGAGUUUGAGUUAAGCUACUAUCUAAAUGAGAAAUUCUUGUAUUAACAUUUUUUAGUUCUUUCUCAUAUGAGGAUGAUGGUACUUUAGAUGAAAUAAAAACAGAUUGUACCUUCUUUAUCAGUUCAUCGAGCUCAUUGAACUGCUGGCUGAGUGGUUUGGCCGUAAAGCACAUAUCCUCCUGUACCUUCGGUCCAUCGCUUCCUCCAUCGGUAUUGUAUCCCCUCAUUUGAGAUACGUCAGUCACCAUGAAGCAUUUUCCACCACUGCUUUCCUCCUUAGCCACAUAAGCCUUUCCAUGAGUAGGCUUCCUCACUUCUUCGUCUUCUGAGUCAGUAGACCAAACUUCUGUGCUACCGAACUCAUCGUCAUUAACCGAACCCUGCACAAUAAGAGCAUUAAUAGAAGGGUUAGCGGUAGACUUCUUCUUUCUCAACUCAUCCAAUCUCUUCUGCAGCACGGCUUCCUCAUCAUUUCCAUCGUCCUUUUCAGCCAUCUUCUUAAGAACACAGUCCUUAGCAUAGUGGUUCUUGCCACCACAGUAGAAACAGCUUACUCCGGAAUCGCCAUCUGCCUUCGGUUCCUUCUUGGGCUCCUCAGCCUUCGGUUCAUUGUUCACCUUUUCAGAGCUGUAACUCCCCUGCCAGUUUCGGUUUUUGUUGCUGGGGAAUCUCUUCUUUAUGAACCUCUUAGGAUUGGAUACCAUCAUGGCAUAAUCCUCAGUUGUGAGGUCAUAUUCUUCCAAGUUGAGCUCUUCAUCCUCCAUCACAGCUUUACUUUUAGAUAGGAGGGCCAACGAACCAAGACUAGAAACAACGUUCUUCUCUUGAACCACAAUCUUCUCUUGGGACUUUAGAAUACCCACCAGUUUCGCCAAAGAGUAUGAUUUAAACUGUUCAUGGGCUUUGACUGUGGAAACCACUGCUCUCCAUUCAGAUCUCAGUCCGUUCAAGAAAGUAACCUUUUGUUCGAUGAGCUUCCUUUCAAUGUCGUGUUUGAUCAUCUUGCUGAGAAGAUGAUUGAAGCGAUCAAACGUCUGGGUCACCGUUUCUUCGGCCCCUUGCCUGAAUUCUCCAAACUCAGAUAGAAGCAAGGUUUGGAUGGAAUGUUCAAGAUCUUCGUCUGUGGAAUACAGUUCGCGAAGUCUAUCCCACACUUCCUUUGCCGUAGUACAUGAGCUGACCAGUCUGAAUGUGUCGGACUGAAGGGCGAAUCUGAUCAACCUUAGCGCCUUAAUAUUGCACUGGAAUUUGUCUUUUUCAUCUUGCGCAAUAUCCGUCACGUCCUUAAGCAGAUCGUUGUACUCUUUUUGCGUCUUAAUGAUUCUGGAUGUUGCAGAAUGAGAAAACGGUCCAUUGAUGAUGGCUUCCCAGAUGAGAUAACCAUUGUCCUCCGAUCCAAUCACGUAAUCUUCAAAAUGAUGCGCCCAUACUUCAUAGUCAUGGGUGUAUAAGAUUGGAAUCUUUGUCGUCGAACCGAUGCUGUUGGAAAUAUUAAUAGGGUUUGAUUGCGUCGCGUCCAUUAUGAUCGUAAAAACCUGUUCAAAGAUCAGACUUGUAAUAAAGCAGAUUAGGGCAAAACAAUAAAUAUUAAGAUACGUCAAUUAAGAUGACGGCUCAAUAAAUAUCGAUGAUUGCGGAAAACCCUAAUGGAAAUCUUUUUCACAGAAAAGAUGUGUAUCGAUUACACAGCCUCCUGCUCUGAUACCAAUUGAUGGGAUUAAAACAACUUUUAAUCUAUGAAGAUCGAUUAGAUCUUGAACAAGUAUAUGAAUAUGAAACAGUAAAAACGCAAUAAUAAGAACAAACAGCUUGAAUCAAACGUGUCGAAUGAUUAAAUAAAAUCCUUAGAAGAGCUCGAUUAAGAACAUCAACUGUAAAGGAUUAGAAGAUUACAAGAACGAUUACAGAAAAAUAAAGUACUCUUGAUCAAUCGCUAUUUUGAUAAUCUCUCGAAUCUUAACCUAAUAUGCAUGCAAGCAUUUAACUUAUAUACAAUACAUAAAAGGCUCUCGGUUGGACAGGCCCAAACCGGAGAAUACAAGGCUAAUCAACGAGCCCAAAAGACGCAACAUCAAAACUAUCUACAGCCCAACAAGAUCAAUCAGUGUAAUGAAUUGGAAUCACUAAUAAAUCUUGUUUAUAUGUUCAUAAUAAUGAUAAUGAACUUAAACAUAAGUUGUACUUAAAGUACGGUAAGCAUAACUUAAUUUACAGGUGGUUUAGCGAGAAAUCGGGCUUUGCAUGGGCAAAACUUUUGAGCCGAAAGCUCUUAUUCUCGAGUCUUUCCGGCGCUCCGGGGCUCACUACUAACUCCUAGGAAGGGCUAAAGAUAAGGUCUGAUGACCUUGGGAGGUUUGGGAGAGAAUUGGUUGAAGAUGUGUAACGAAAAGAGUGAGAAAUGAGCUCUAUUUAUAGCUGCCAGCGCCCAAGUACGUUGGGCGUACUCAAGAAUUACGCUGGGCGUAAUGGAUUUUUAAGGGUUACUCUGGGCGUACUCAAAUAUUACACUGGGCGUAAUGUGCAAUGUGGCGAAAUCUGGUGGCAAGCUGUGGGGAAGAAGGUGUGGCCUAAAUCUUGCCACUUGUCACUCGUUGGUUAAUCCAAAAACUAAUUAUCUUCUAAAAUCCUUGACUUUCGCAUACGAGCUCGGUUUUUUAUGUUCUUUAUAUCCACACAUAGGUAUCGACGAUAUUUAUAACUUUUGUUUAGACUUCGUAGGCUAAUUUUUCUUUAUUUUUAAAGAUAUAUUUUAAUAGGCUUAGACAGUUAAAGUCCGUUAAAAAUUCUUAACUUUGUCAUCCGACGUCCGUUUUUUAUUGUCUUUAUAUCGUUGAGCUCCUAUUAAUGAGAUCUUCAAUUCAUGUUUAGUUUGUGUCGACUAAUGUUCGAUUGAUCUAAAAUUUGAUUUACGGGGUGUAUUCUGUUACGCUAAAUCUUAUAAAAAUCAUAACUUACUCAAAUGAAGUCAGAUUUGGACGUUCUCUAUAUGUACGUUCUCAAUUUAACAUCUACUAUGACUUUUGUUUAGCUUGCUAAGGCUAAAAAAUGUUUUAUCAAAAAUUUACUUUAUACGAUACGUGGAGCCGUAUCGGUUUAAUCGCGAAACUUCGACAGGUCAUAACUUCUUCGUUAUAAGUCGGAUUUCUACGUUCUCUAUGUGUACGGAAUCCUUGUCACAUAUAAUUGGUUAAGAUUAUUUAUUCUAAAUAAUAUCCUAUCAAAAAGUCAUUUUUAACACUUAUUAUCUCUAAAUUGACUGGCCCGAAUCUGCAUGUGUUACAAUUAUCUCCCCUUAAGAUGAUUACGUCUUGGAAUCAUCAACAAAACAGGUCUUGUAUAAUGACGACAUAUGUUAUCUUUUCAUCCAAGGUAAUAAUCAUAACUCUUUUGUCCUUUUAAAUUAGUAUCUAUCUCUUGGACUUCUUGACUACUGGCGGUGCUCAAUCUCACAUAUGCUCUCCGUACCAUGUUGAGUUUUCAAUCGUAACAUUUAAGUUACAAAUUCGAUCUUUACUAGAGAUUCCUUCUUCUUUUCAAUAGAAUUAACUUAAUACAAGUUCUUUAUUUCGAUUACCAUAAUAGACCGAUGGGUCAUGUUCUAAUGAUCUUUCAUCGUAUGAUCCAAUGCUUAGACUCAGGUCUUUUAGAGUCAAAUUCCAGAAUGGAAGAUACAUUCCUUCAUGUUCUAAUGUGAUAUAAUUAUAGUCUAGCAUGUAGCACUUCUAGCUACAAGCUUCUUACUUUAACGGCAAUUGCGAUACUUCUAUUGAUCACUUCAAAUAUCUCUUAUUUCAAUAUUCUGGCUUAAGUCAGAUUCUACAUCCAACUUGAUUCUUUAAACCACGUAUAAUAUAUAUCUUAGUUUGACUAGAUAUUAUAUGACCACCAGGUUCGGAAUAAUAGUCAUCUUCUUAGUCAUUACCGACACAAUGGUAACGCCAGACAUGAACAAAACGGAAUCAAUUACUAGCACCUUGAUAAACUUGUGACUUUCCGUGAUCCAAGUGUGAGUCCUAUGCUUCUGGUAGUAUAGGCCUCUACUAUCUUUCACACCAACUCAUACUCGUUUGUUGGGUCAAAAACAUGGUUUAUACUUUGCUUUUCUAAGCAUUUAUUGUUUUUAUUAUUUGGGCCAAAAAUAGUAUAGGAUUAAUUGUAGUUUGGACCGAGCAUUGGAUUAUUUGUAUUUUAGGCUUAGCCUUAGGUCCAUAUAUAUAUAUAUAUAUANAUAUAUAUAUAUAUAUAGGGUGAGGAGUGCAUGUGAGGGUAAGAACUAAGGAGCUUAAGUGUGUGUAUUCUAAGGUGUGAGAGAAACUACAGAGAAGAGUGUGUGUGAACUAUGUGUAUGGAGCUUCAAUCAUUUCAUUGAAUACAUCAUAGAUUCAUAUUCUUCUUCUCCUUCUCUUCUAUUUGAUCUGACAUCAUCCGUUUGAUUGGAAUUCCACACCAUCAAACGAAUCUGAUUGAUACACAGGCAGAUUGGGGACUUACAUCGACCCAAGUAUUUCCCCUCAAUUCUCCAGUUAACUGCAUAAGAAAAAUCAUAUAGUAACUUAACACAUCAAUUAACAUAACCAAGGUUUAUAUUGUUUCUUGAAAGGAUUACAUACAUAUUCAAGUUCGCCUUAUACUAUGCCUCUCAUAUUAGGCUACACCACAUGAUACAAUCUAUACGGGUACUUUGUAUCUCGAUCUUCAAAUAUAUAGACCCUUACUCCUAAUCCCUUGCAUCAUCAAUUGCUUCAUUAAGGAUCAUCUGGAAUGCUCUUGCCUUAGGAUUUGGCAGUACGUUUGGCUUUGUAGCUCCUUCCCUAUUCGGGUAGUCUUGCUUGGUUGAGCAUUUGUUGGCAUAUUGACCAAUCUUCCCACAUUUAAAGCAGGUCACCUCUUUAUUGCAUCUCCCAAUGUGCUUCCUUCUGCACUUAUGACACCACUUUUCUUCAUUUCCAUCCCCAUACCUCUUAUUGUUGUGGUCAGACUUUGGGAACCUAUUUUUUUUGGGAUCUUGAAGACUUCUCAAAGUUCCUAUUCCUGCCAACAUCAACCUUAUUGGCAGUUCUACCUUUGGUAAUUUCUUCUACAGACUUAGCAGCCCAGAUGGCCGCCUCAAGAGUAAGUGCAUAGCAUACUGGCACAACGUACUCCCAUGGUAGUCCCUUUGUAUACUUAUCGAUUUUUGUUAGCUCUACAGGGACGAUACGCAAAGAAAACUCCAUCAU